UGAUGAGAUGUACAGAGGGGUCCGGGAAGCUGCCAGUUGGCGUCGGCCCCCACCCCAGGAUGUGUUAGCUUCAUCCAUCUAACAUCAGAGGCGCGGCGGCGUGAUGAGAGCGCGCGUGUCGGCACAAGUCUGGGCAUGUGGUUUGAUUCUUUCGCCUGCAUAGAGACCGGCAUGAAAGUGGCAAUGUGACUUGGCUGACCUUGAUGGUGCUGGCAACUGCUAAAAUGUAGUGUACUGUGCCUGAUCCUGACAAGAACUCAGAUAUAGCUCUCUUGAAAUCCUGCUCUCUUUUUGACUGCUGACCCUGACCUAUGUGAAUACAUCGUUCGACUUUUUUUCUUUCUGAAAAAACCCUGUCGUUUUUUUUUCUCGCUUAAAUGUGAUACGAUGCUGCUGCGUGUCUGUAUAUGUUUUGAAGGUUGUCAGAAUAAAAUAAAAUAAGCCACAGUGAGAGCAUCACUCACAGCACAGCAGCAUGAGUGAAAAGAAGUCAACUUUCUUGUGUUCUUUUGUAACAAGGCUUCGGAAUUUUCAGCAAGAUCAAGUGAUAAUCUGGUUAGGGCAGAUUUGAAGGUCCUCCAAAAGGUUAUUGCAUAUAUGUUCGCAAAAAAGAAAAUGGUAUUGCAUAUAUAGGGCGCAAUCUGCAAUACCAAAGAAUUGAAGGGCCGUAGCUCCAAGUAAAGAAUGGCAGUCGUGAGGACACUUCUGGGAGAGAAUGAAAACAUCAAGGACCUUUGUGUAAGAAGCGAACUACAGGCGAGGGCUGGAAAAGAAGGCCUCCAGGGACCUGCGCGCGAAAUCUAAAAAAAUAUGGACCAUUUCUCGAUUAUCUUCUCUGUAUCUUCCAAUUUUAUCAGAUGUCCCCGAAGAGUCAGCUGCCGCGCUGCUUAUAAACCGGUGCUUCUCGCCUUGGCUGGCCGAUGUGGGACUAAAUAAAGGAGCGUUUCUUUUGCUGCGUGCGCUUACUACAGCCAGAUCGACGGCGUCGGACGCGCGGUGGGCCGAAAGCAGUCGGCUGGGUUUCUUGCUGUGGCCCAAAUUAGUGGACGAGCGUAAUGGGGCCUUCGUGUUAUUCCACCGAGCGGAUGCGUACUGACCUUUUUUUUAGGUGUCUUAAAAAAAAGACUGUUUUUUUUAUUUUUUUUGCGCAUGCUAAUCUUUUUUUUGUGGGUACUGUCUGUUCAAACAUGUACUGCUACGUACGGGCUGAAAAUGGAAAUGGAAAUGGAAGUACAUCCACAUCCACAUCCCGUUCCCGUGGACUGCUUUGCUAGGCUGCUCCAUUUGAAGUGCAUUGCAUGCACGCACGUACGUACAACUCGUGCUUUCAAUUGUAUCUGCAUGCAUGCAGUGUCAACGCCCGUCUGAAUUCAAACCAUGUACGUUAUGUAUGUAACCCAAGCGUGCAUGCUUAACGUGCUAGCCGAAUUACCUACCGGCCGGUCUCCCGCUCUCACGUGCCGAAACACCUGAUGUACAUACAAUACAAGCGAGCCAGCUGCUAGCUUGUUGAUUAUUCUUUUCUCGAUCCAGUUGAAUGCAUGCAUGCAUGACCUACCUUCGAGGAUGUUUGGGUGCAUCACCGGGAUUUAGUGUAUGUAUGUAUGUAUGUAUGUAUGUAUGUAUGUUAAAAGCACAUGCAUGACCUUCGUCUUAAACUAGCUUGUAAUUAACAGUGCUGAUCAGAAGACAAACAACAAAUGAUCUUGAAAUUUAGAGUACAAUCCGAUCAAUGCUGCUUCGUAUAUAGUAUGCAUGAACUCAAAAUGAUCGAAAUCAAGAUGCACACUGCAUGCAGCCUCAAUCAAUAGUACUACACAGUACACGCUAGUUACAAACUGCGCGCAUGUUGAAUUACUAAAUAAGCAGUGCAUGCGAACGAGCAACUAGUAGCUAAUGUAACCCUAGAAGGCUUGUACAGCAGGAACAACUCCCCGUCCAGGGUUCCGCGAGCGAAAGAAGGCCGGCGGCAUUGGAAGCAUGCUUGGGUCAGGCGAGGCGACGAAGCUCGGGCCGGAGAACAUGGGGCCUAUGCGCGGAGCUGUCGGUUUCAGAACCAUCGCCGUUGUGUCGCCCCCUUGGUCCUCGUCGCUCGUCCAGCUCUCUGCGCUAGCUUGUGCCGGUCGAGGCUUCUUGUGCGUGUCCCAGCGACCAGCGGAGGUCGUGCGGCUGGGCGGCAGCUGCUUGUUGCUAUCCCACCUCCCGCACGGUGACGCCCCGCCGGAGCUCGUGCUGCUUCGCCGGCUUGACGACGAUGACGUGCAGCUGCUGCCGGAGAUGUGCUUGUUUAUGCCCCAACGCUGGCAGGAGGAGGCUCGGCCGGGACCUGAGCUGCUGGAGCACGACGAGGCUGGGCUCGUGGGCUUCUUGUCCUUCUUGUGCGCGUCCCACCUCUCGACGGAGUCGGCGCGGCCGGGCUUGGGCUUGGGCUUGGAGGCGAAGGAAGACGGCAGGAUGAUGAGGCACGGCCUCGUCGGCGGGGUCGGGAGGAGACCCGGGAGAAGGGAGGCGGCGGCUUUGGCCAUUGCUCGCUCAACGGAAUACAUUGGUGAUCUCUCUUGAUCCAAGAAACACCACGCGCUUUGCCUUUGAGAGAGGAGGCGCCUUGGCCGGAGAAGGAACAGACGAGACGAUCUGAUGGUAUGGAGUUGGGUGGGUGCGUCCGUAUAUAUAUAUAGAUAUCUCCCGCUGUGACGGACGGACUCCAUUUGGAAUUAGGGCCGGGCCAAGACCGUGUUCGACUGCCAGUCGGCCACGUACGAACGAGGCUCCAUUUCGGAUUAGCAGUACGUGCGCUAGAUGGAUAAGUCGCGUCGGUCCUACGAAGUUUUUUUUUCCUUUCUUCCUUUUCUCGCCGGCGUACGUACGCACCAAUCGGCAAUCCGGCCGGCGGCGGCGUUGAAUUGGCACAUAUCAGUCAGAUUCGAAUCGUAGUUUAAUGGUCGUGGCUCGCGGGCGCACGGGCGCCCGAUCGCAGCCCCGAGCGCAUCUUCCUAAUAUGGAAGGGACCACUGCGCGUGCUGUCCGACCGCUGGAAAAGGGAAGAACCGGUCCCUCACUCUGCUGUCCCCCGCGUGAUUAGGAAGAUGCUCUGUCACGUCAGUUCGCAUGCAUUAAUUUGAGUUUCAAAAAAUUUAAAAAGCCAUAACUUUUGAUUCGAGUAUCGAAAUUCAGACCCGUUUUCACCAUUGGGUUUCUUGUGACGAGUUCUUCAAAACUAGAUCCCAUAUGAAUAGGUUUCAAUGAACUUUUUUUUAGCAACUCUGUGUGGUAUAUAGGCAACUUUAGUGUUAUCAGUAAGCAACUCUUCUUGUUUGUCUAAUAUGACUUCCUAUCAUCUUGGUUUGUGUAAAAACCAAGCAACUGACCUAACAAACCAAGCAUCUGUCCUAGUAAACCAAGCAACUGUCCUAGUAAAUCAAGCAACUGUCAUAACAAAACCAAUCGAUUGUCCUAAUAAAUCAAACAACUUUCCUAACAAAACUAAGCAACUAUCCUAACAAAACCAAGCAACUGUCCUAGCAAAUCCAUGCAACUACAUUAUCAAAACACACAAUGCAUAAUGUCUAAGCAAACCAAGCAACUGUCCUAACAAACCAAGCAACCAUCUUAACAAAAAACAAACAAUUUCAAUAACAAAACCAAGCAACUGUCCUAACAAAACAGAGCAACUGUACUAACAAACCAAGCAACUGACCUAACAAACCAAGCAACUGUGCUAGUAAACCAAGCAACUGUCAUAACAAAACCAAUCGAUUGUCCUAAUAAAUUAAGCAAUUGUCCUAACAAAACUAAGCAACUAUCCUAACAAAACCAAGCAACUGUCCUGGCAAAUCCAUGCAACUAUCCUAUCAAAAUAUGUUGUCAUCACCAAAGUUCUGCACAAGAAUACCACAUCUAUAAAAUGAAUUGCCUACUCCUGGGGAAAAUUGAUGCAUCUACGACACAAACAAGUGAGGGUGUCAUUAACUCCAAACAAGUUCACAAGGUUCUGACAGUGACAUAUAGUCUGCACACACACACAUUCAUCAGUCAAAAAUGCAGUAGUACUAAUUAGUAGCAGGAAUAAGAUCACAUGUUCAGCUGGUGAUGCACGAGGCAAGAUAGAUAGUUAGAAAAUGCAGCAGCACAGAGCCUGCUUAUCAGCAACAUGACAUUCAUCUCGAGAGCCAAUCUAUCGAUCCCAUUUUUUCUCACUUGUGACGAUGUGUAUGCUCAUGGACACCAAUACUCACUUUGAUAUUCAGAGGAUCACCAUUAUUCCUGCUUUGCCAGACCUGAUAAUGCGCACGCGCCUCCGCGCUAAGGCCUCAUCUAGCAUGCACCUAACUAUGUGGUCGCGACGGAACAGCAGAGGCGGCCGGACCUUGAGUCUCGCAUGGGCCCGGGGCGCAUCUGCAGGGCACUGCCAGAAGAAGUGAGCACCGGGAAGCAACAACGUCGCAGCCAUGCCGAAAUGCCUCCCCACGAACCCAGCAGCCUCCGCCCACACGGGCGCCUUGAAGAAGACCUCUCGGAAGACGCAGAGCUCCAUGAGCGGCCUGUCCUCACCGAAGAUGAACUGGAUGGCGUCGAGACGGGCCGAGAUCCGAGCCUCCCGGCUAUGGCAGCAGCGCAUGGCUCGUCGGCGUUGGGAAGGCAUCCAGGCGGCGGAGCUCCACAGGAAGACACAUGGGAGGGGCGGAUCUAGCGCGGAGCUCCUCGGAUCCAUACAGGUUCACGCGCGGUAGGGCGCCGAAGGUGGAUGGCGGCAGUUGGCAGGAGGACGGGGUCGCGGACGCUCGGAUGCCAUGGCUACCAGGGCGGCGGCCGGCGGGUCAGGGGAGGAGGGAGGAAAGGAGAGGAAGAGGGCUCGGUGCGCUAGAUUCUUUUGGAAGGGAGCGAGUGUGUGGCUUGUCGCGUAGCGCGAGCGCCCGACACAAUAAAAUAGCGCACGCGCACUUUUAAGAAUUUAGGUAGUUUAAUUUGAAAUAUUUGCUUUCAACACUGUCAUUUAUUCGGAAUACUACAAAUGAUCUCCUACAUUUUCCGAGUAUCCGUCGGAUUAGUUAGGUGCUAAUCUCUCAGAUUGAUGCUCUUCGUGCAGUAUUGAGAUUUGCGUAGAAAAAUGAAUAGUAGUUGUAAAAAGAAGAUGACACUGCACAUAUUUGCGGCGAGUAUAAAAUCUGUGUACACAAAAAUAGUAAUAGCCAUGACACUUUUAUCGUCGUUCGGAGGUUACUAUUUGCAAUGCUAUUUGUUCAACCAAGUACAAAGCAUGCACACUUUCUCAACUUAUUCUAUGCCCAUUGUAAUUUGUAAGACACAAUUGAGCAUGAAAACCCCCGGUAAAAAAUCAUGCUAAUUGUUCAAUUUAUAUUGUUGAUCAUUCCAUAAAGUAGAAAAUACCCAACACGUUGGGGCGGGAACUCCCUAAAAACUUAUAUAGAAAUUAUGAGUUGAGAAACAAUGGAAAGUUCCCUGAUUUUUUAAAAAUAAAAUAAAAAUAAAGGGAAGUUUAACAUGCAUAAUGCAAUAGUUACAAAUAUGAAAUAUCCUUUGUUUUAGUUAAUUAUUAAUGUCUUAUUUUAUGGCCGGGAAGAAAUUGCUGGGAGAUCACUAGUGCAGAAAUGCCUACUAGCGGUGUUUGGACAAAGUCGUUAGUGGUGCGGAGGCGGGACGCCACUAGUAUUAAGCCACUGGCAUGUUCAGAGUAGUGGCGCCUCCUCUCAACGCAACUGGUAUUGAACCUAGCACUGGAGUCGAGGCUAAACGUCACUAAUUGCAAAUUCAUUUGUAGCGCUGAUACAGUAUCAGAUGCCACUAGAUAUCUCAAAUGCUAUAUUCGAUGCAACACCGUUGACAUAUGGAUCCGAGUUGUCAGUUAAUCCCUACUAUCAGAUAACCCCCAACGUAUUAGUUUAAAUUAAUGGAGUUAACAAAUUAAACUAAACAUAGAUUAAACAUUAAUUAAACUAAACUAGCUAGGGCGCAUCUAUUACAUAGCAUGCUAGAUUUGGAAAGAUGGUCCAAAUCACAAAACUUGCACUACUGUACCAAUUAACUAGUUAAAGUAAAGAGCCACAGCCGCCUAGUCAUCGUCUUGGUCCGAGAAGACAACGUCGUUGUCGUCGAUAACUCCACGUCAUGAAAUGCAGGAGGCGGAGGCGGUUGCCACGACAUCUCCUCCUCAAGCCGACGGUUCUUCGCAUCGGGCGCUGCCGCCCUUGCCUCCUCGUAUGCUCGUAAAGACUCAUACGAGGUGUCAAUGGUCAUCUGAAGCUCCUCGUCGAUGCAGCAAGCCUCGAUCUGAGCCUCCAUCGCUAGAUGUUGUUGCAUCUCCACCCCGCCCACCAAAUCGAUGUCCCAUGGCGGGAACGGAGGUGGGGAUCAGGGCUUGGGGGAUGGCGGGGACGACCCAUCCGGAGAAGAGGAUGGGGUCUAAUCUGGUGAGGGCACGGGGAUGGCAGCGGCGACCCAACCGGAGAAGCAGGCAUCAAGGUGGCUUGUAUCGUACCGGCCACGAGCUCGUAGCACGACAACAUGGCCAGUACGGUCUGAAGCCGGUGACACAUAGCUGAAGGAAAUAUGCCCUAGAGGCAAUAAUAAAGUUAUUAUUUAUUUCCUUAUAUCAUGAUAACUGUUUAUUAUUCAUGCUAGAGUUUUAUUAACCGGAAACUUAGUAUAUGUGUGAAUACAUAGACAUAGUGUCACUAGUAUGCCUCUACUUGACUAGCUCGUUGAUCAAAGAUGGUUAUGUUUCCUAGCCAUAGACAUGAGUUGUCAUUUUAUUAACGGGGUCACAUCAUUAGGAGAAUGAUGUGAUUGACUUGACCCAUUCCGUUAGCUUAGCAAUCGAUCGUUUAGUAUGUUGCUAUUGCUUUCUUCAUGACUUAUACAUGUUCCUAUGACUAUGAGAUUAUGCAACUCCGCGUUUACCGGAGGAACACUUUCUGUGCUACCAAACGUCACAACGUAACUGGGUGAUUAUAAAGGUGCUCUACAGGUGUCUCCGAAGGUACUUGUUGGGUUGGCGUAUUUCGAGAUUAGGAUUUGUCACUCCGAUUGUCGGAGAGGUAUCUCUGGGCCGACUCGGCAAUACACAUCACUUAAGCCUUGCAAGCAUUGCAACUAAUGAGUUAGUUGCGGGAUGAUGUAUUACGGAACAAGUAAAGAGACUUGCCGGUAACGAGAUUGAACUAGGUAUUGAGAUACCGACGAUCUAAUCUCGGGCAAGUAACAUACCGAUGACAAAGGGAACAACGUAUGUUGUAAAGCGGUCUGACCGAUAAAGAUCUUCGUAAAAUAUGUGGGAGCCAAUAUGAGCAUCCAUGUUCCGCUAUUGGUUAUUGACCGGAGACGUGUCUCGGUCAUGUCUACAUAGUUCUCGAACCCGUAGGGUCCGCACGCUUAAAGUUUCGAUGACAGUUAUAUUAUGAGUUUUGAUGUACCAAAGGUUGUUCGGAGUCCCGGAUGUGAUCACGGACAUGACGAGGAGUCUCGAAAUGGUCGAGACAUGAAGACUGAUAUAUUGGAAGCCUACAUUUGGAUAUCGAAAGUGUUCCGGGUGAAAUCGGGAUUUUACCGGAGUACCGGAGGGGUUACCGGAACCCCUCGGGGGUUUAAUGGGCCAUAGUGGGCCUUAGUGGAGAAGAGGAGAGGCGGCUAGGGCAGGGACGCGCGCCCCUCCCCCUCUAGUCCGAAUAGGACAAGGAGAGGGGGGCGGCGCCCCCCUUUCCUUCCUCUCUCCCUCCUCUUUUCCCCCUUCUCCUAAUCCAACAAGGAAGGGAGGGAGUCCUACUCCCGGUGGGAGUAGGACUCCUCCUGGCGCGCCUCCUCCUGGCCGGACGCACCUCCCCCCUUGCUCCUUUAUAUACGGGGGCAGGGGGCACCCCAAAGACACAACAAUUGAUUUGAUCUUUUAGCCGUGUGCGGUGCUGUGGGGGAACGUAGCAGAAAUUCAAAAUUUUCUACGCAUCACCAAGAUCAAUCUAUGGAGUAAUCUAGCAACGAGGGGAAGGGGAGUGCAUCUACAUACCAUUGUAGAUCGCGAUGCGGAAGCGUUGCAAGAACGCGGAUGAAGGAGUCGUACUCGUAGCGAUUCAGAUCGCGGUUGAUUCCGAUCCAAGCACCGAAGAACGGUGCCUCCGCGUUCAACACACGUGCAGCCCGGUGACGUCUCCCACGCCUUGAUCCAGCAAGGAGAGAGGGAGAGGUUGGGGAAGACUCCAUCCAGCAGCAGCACGACGGCGUGGUGGUGAUGGAGGAGCGUGGCAAUCCCGCAGGUGUGUAGACCCUACGGGUUCGGGAACCAUGCAGACAUGACCGAGACGUUCUCCGGUCAAUAACCAACAGCGGGAUCUGGAUACCCAUGUUGGCUCCCACAUGUUCCACGAUGAUCUCAUCGGAUGAACCACGAUGUCGGGGAUUCAAUCAAUCCCGUAUACAAUUCCCUUUGUCUAUCGGUAUGUUACUUGCCCGAGAUUCGAUUGUCGGUAUCCCGAUACCUUGUUCAAUCUCAUUACCGGCAAGUCUCUUUACUCGUUCCGUAACUCACAUCAUCCCGUGAUCAACUCCUUGGUCACACUGUGCACAUUAUGAUGAUGUCCUACCGAGUGGGCCCAGAGAUACCUCUCCGUUUACACGGAGUGACAAAUCCCAGUCUCGAUUCGUGCCAACCCAACAGACACUUUCAGAGAUACCUGUAGUGCACCUUUAUAGUCACCCAGUUACGUUGUGACGUUUGGUACACCCAAAGCAUUCCUACGGUAUCCGGGAGUUGCACAAUCUCAUGGUCUAAGGAAAUGAUACUUGACAUUAGAAAAACUCUGAGCAAACGAACUACACGAUCUUGUGCUAGGCUUAGGAUUGGGUCUUGUCCAUCACAUCAUUCUCCUAAUGAUGUGAUUCCGUUAUCAAUGACAUCCAAUGUCCAUGGUCAGGAAACGGUAACCAUCUAUCGAUCAACGAGCUAGUCAACUAGAGGCUUACUAGGGACAUGGUGUUGUCUAUGUAUCCACACAUGUAUCUGAGUUUCCUAUCAAUACAAUUCUAGCAUGGAUAAUAAACGAUUAUCAUGAACAAGGAAAUAUAAUAAUAACCUAUUUAUUAUUGCCUCUAGGGCAUAUUUCCAACAGUCUCCCACUUGCACUAGAGUCAAUAAUCUAGUCCACAUCACCAUGUGAUUAACACUCAUAGGUCACAUCACCAUGUGACCAACAUCAAAGAGUUUACUAGAGUCAACAAUCUAGUUCACAUCACUAUGUGAUUAACACUCAAUGAGUUCUGGUUUGAUCAUGUUAUGCUUGUGAGAGAGGUUAUUAGUCAACGGGUCUGAACCUUUCAGAUCCGUGUGUGCUUUACGAAUAUCUAUGUCAUCUUGUGGAUGUUACCACGCGCUAUUUGGAGCCAUUUCAAAUAAUUGCUCUACUAUACGAAUCCGGUUUACUACUCAGAGUCAUCCGGAUUAGUGUCAAAGUUCGCAUCGACGUAACCCUUUACGACGAACUCCCUUUCACCUCCAUAAUCGAGAAAAUUCCUUAGUCCACUAGGUACUAAGGAUAAGUUCGACCGCUGUCAUGUGAUCCAUUCCCGGAUCACUAUUGUACCCCUUGACCAACUCAUGGCAAGGCACACUACAUGUGCGGUACACAGCAUAGCAUACUAUAGAGCCUACGUCUAAAGCAUAGGGGACGACCUUCGUCCUUUCUCUCUCUUCUGCUGUGGUCAGGUCUUGAGUCUUACGCAAUACUCACACCUCGUAACACAGCCAAGAACUCCUUCUUUGCUGAUCUAUUUUGAACUCUUUCAAAAUCAUGUCAAGGUGUGCGUUCUUUGAAAGUAUCAUCAGGCGUCUUGAUCUAUCUCUAUAGAUCUUGAUGCCCAAUACGUAAGCAGCUUUGUCCAGGUCUUCCUUUGAAAAACUCCUUUCAAACAACCCUUUAUGCUUUCCAGAAAUUUUACAUCAUUUCGGAUCAACAAUAUGUCAUUCACAUAUACUUAUCAGAAAUGUUGUAGCGCUCCCACUCACUUUAUUGUAAAUACAAGUUUCUAACAAACUUUGUAUAAACCCAAAAACUUUGAUUACUCCAUCAAAGCUUAUAUUCUGACUCCGAGAUGCUUGCUCUAGUCCAUGGAAGGAUCGCUGGAGCUAGCAUACCUUUUAGCAUCCUUAGGAUCGACAAAACCUUUCUGAUUGUAUCACAUACAACCUUUCCUUACGAAAACUGGUAAGGAAACUUGUUUUGACAUCCAUCUGCCAGAUUUCAUAAAUGCAGCUAAUGCUAACAUGAUUCCGACGGACUUAAGCAUCGCUACGGAUGAGAAAAUCUCAUCGUAGUCAACUCCUUGAACUUGUGGAAAUACUCUUAGCCACAAGUCGAGCUUCAUAGACGGUAACAUUACCGUCCACGUCCGUCUUCUUCUUAAAGAUCCAUUUAUCUCGGAUUUCAUGGCUUCUAACCAUUUGUCGGAAUAUGGGCCCACCAUCGCUUCUCCACAGCUCAUAGGUUCAUCGUUGUCCAACAACAUGAUUUCCAAGACAGGAUUACGCAUUACUCUGAAGUAGUACGCAUCCUCGUCGUCCUACGAGGUUUGGUAGUGACUUGAUCCGAAGUUUCAUGAUCACUAUCAUAAGCUUCGCUACACACUAGUUGAAGUUAUGGUUCAAUAACCUUAUCAAGUUUCCACCAUCCUCCCACUCAAUUCUUUCGAGAGAAAUUUUUCCUCGAGAAAGAAACCGUUUCUAGAAGCAAUUACUUUUGCUUCCAGAUCUGAAAUAGGAGGUAUACCCAACUGUUUUGGGUUUUCUAUGAAGAUGCAUUUAUCCGCUUUGGGUUCGAGCUUAUCAGCCUGAAACAUUUUCACAUAAGCAUCGCAGCCCCAAACUUUUAAGAAACGACACCUUAGGUUUCUCUAAAUGGUGUCGUCUCAACGGAAUUGCGUGGUGCCCCUUUUAAAGUGAAUGCGGUUGUUUCUAAUGCCUAACCCAUAAACGAUAGUGGUAAUUCGAUAAGAGACAUCAUGGUAUGCACCAUAUCCAAUAGGGUGCAGUUAUGAUGUUCGGACACACCAUCACACUAUGGUGUUCCAGGCGGUAUUAAUUGUGAAACACUUUCCACAAUGUCUUAAUUGUGUGCCAAACUCGUAACUCAGAUACUCAUCUCUAUGAUCAUAUCACAGACAUUUUAUCCUCUUGUCACGACGAUCUUCAACUUCACUCUGAAAUUGCUUGAACCUUUCAAUAAUUUAGACUUGUGUUUCAUCAAGUAAAUAUUCUCAGCAUCUACUCAAAUCAUCUGUGAAGUAAGAAAAUUUCGAUAUCCACUGCGUGCCUUAGCACUCAUUGGACUGCACACAUCAAAUGUAUUACUCCCAACAAGUUGCUCUCUUGUUCCAUCUUACGGAAAACGAGGCCUUUCAGUCAUCUUGCCCAUGUGGUAUGAUUUGCAUGUCUCAAGUGAUUCAAAAUCAAGUGAGUCCAAACGAUCCAUCUGCAUGGAGUUUCUUCAUGCAUAUAUACCAAUAGACAUGGUUCGCAUGUCUCAAUCUUUUCAAAAACGAGUGAGUCCAAAGAUCCAUCUACAUGGAGCUUCUUCAUGCGUUGUAUACCAAUAUGACUCAAAUUGCAGUGCCACAAGUAUGUGGUACUAUCAUUACUAUUUUAUAUCUUUUGGCACGAACAUGUGUAUCACUGCGAUCGAGAUUCAUUUUAGGUGCAAGACCAUUGAAGGUAUUAUUCAAAUAAACAGAGUAACCAUUAUUCUCCUUAAAUGAAUAACCGUAUUGCGAUAAACAUAAUCCAAUCAUGUUUAUGCUCAACGCAAACACCAAUCUCGAUGGUAGAGGGAGCAUGCGAUGCUUGAUCACAUCAACCUUGGAAACACUUCCAACACACAUCGUCAUCUCAUCUUUAGCUAGUCUCCAUUUAUUCAGCAGCUUUUAUUUCGAGUUACUAACACUUAGCAACCGAACCGGUAUCUAAUACCCUGGUGCUGCUAGGAGUACUAGUAAAGUACACAUUCAUAUAAUGUAUAUCCAAUAUACUUCUGUCGACCUUGCAUGCCUUCUCAUCUACCAAGUAUCUAGGGUAGUACUGCUUCAGUGACUGUUCCCCUCAUUACAGAAGCACUUAGUCUCGGGUUUGGGUUCAACCUUGGGUUUCUUCACUAGAGCAGCAACUGAUUUGCCGUUUCAUGAAGUAUCCCUUCUUGCCCUUGCCCUUCUAGAAACUAGUGGUUUUACUAACCAUCAACAAUUGAUGCUCCUUCUUGAUUUCUACUUUCGCGGUGUCAAACAUCGUGAUUUGCUCAAGGAUCAUCAUAUCUAUCCCUGAUAUGUUAUAGUUCAUCACGAAGCUCUAAUAGCUUGGUGGCAGUGACUUAGGAGAACCAUCACUAUCUCAUCUGGAAGAUUAACUCCCACUCGAUUCAAGCGAUUGCAGUACUCAGACAAUCUGAGCACAUGCUCAACGAUUGAGCUUUUCUCCCUUAGUUUGCAGGCUUAAGAAACUUGUCAGAGGUCUCAUACCUCUUGACGUGGGCACUAGUCUGAAAUCCCAAUUUCAGUCUUCGGAACAUCUCAUAUGUUCUGCGACGUUUCAAAACAUCUUUGGUGUCACAAUUCUAAACCGUUAGCAUUACGCACUGAACUAUCACAUAGUCAUCAAAACAUGUAUGUCAGAUGUUUCGCAACAUCUACAAACGACGCUCGAGGUUCAGCACACCGAGCGGUGCAUUAAGGACAUAAGCCUUCUGUGCAGCAAUGAGGACAAUCCUCAGUUUACGGACCCAGUCCGCAUAAUUGCUACUACCAACUUUCAACUAAAUUUUCUCUAGGAACAUAUCUUAAGCAGUAGAACUAAAGCGUAUGACAUAAUUUGCAAAGACCUUUUGACGAUGUUCAUGAUAAUUAAGUUCAUCUGAUUAAUGAACUCCCACUCAGAUAGACAUCCCUCUAGUCAUCUAAGUGAUACAUGAUCUGAGUCAAACUAGGCCGUGUCCGAUCAUCACGUGAGACGGACUAGUCAUCAUCGGUGAACAUCUCCAUGUUGAUCGUAUCUACUAUACGACUCAUGUUCGACCUUUCGGUCUCUUGUGUUCCGAGGCCAUGUCUGUACAUGCUAGGCUCGUCAAGUCAACCUAAGUGUUUCGCAUGUGUUCCGAGGCCAUGUCUGUACAUGCUAGGCUCAUCAAUACCCGUUGUAUUCGAACGUUAGAAUCUAUCACACCCGAUCAUCACGUGGUGCUUCGAAACAACGAACCUUCGCAACGGUGCACAGUUAGGGGGAACACGUCUCUUGAAAUUUUAGUGAGGGAUCAUCUUAUUUAUGCUACCGUCGUUCUAAGCAAAUAAGAUGCAUAACAUGAUAAACAUCACAUGCAAUCAAAUAGUGACAUGAUAUGGCCAAUAUCAUUUUGCUCCUUUGAUCUCCAUCUUCGGGGCACCAUGAUCAUCUUUGUCACCGGCAUGACACCAUGAUCUCCAUCAUCAUGAUCUCCAUCAUUGUGUCUUCAUGAAGUUGUCACGCCAACGAUUACUUCUACUUCUAUGGCUAACGCGCUUAGCAAUAAAGUAAAGUAAUUUACAUGGCGUUAUUCAAUGACACGCAGGUCAUACAAAAAAUAAAGACAACUCCUAUGGCUCCUGCCGGUUGUCAUACUCAUCGACAUGCAAGUCGUGAUUCCUAUUACAAGAAUAUGAUCAAUCUCAUACAUCACAUAUAUCAUUCAUCACAUCCUUUUGGCCAUAUCACAUCACAUAGCACAUGCUGCAAAAAAAAGUUAGACGUCCUCCAACUGUUGUUGCAAGUUUUUUACGUGGCUUGUAUAGGUUUCUAGCAAGAACGUUUCUUACCUACGUAAAUGUUGGAAAUAUGCCCUAGAGGCAAUAAUAAAUGGUUAUUAUUAUAUUUCUUUGUUCAUGGUAAUUGUCUAUUGUUCAUGCUAUAAUUGUAUUGUCCGGAAAUCGUAAUACAUGUGUGAAUACAUAGACCACAAAGUGUCCCUAGUAAGCCUCUAGUUGACUAGCUCGUUGAUCAACAGAUAGUCAUGGUUUCCUGACUAUGGACAUUGGAUGUCAUUGAUAACGGGAUCACAUCAUUAGGAGAAUGAUGUGAUGGACAAGACCCAAUCCUAAGCAUAGCAUAAAAGAUCGUGUAGUUUCGUUUGCUAGAGCUUUUCCAAUGUCAAGUAUCUUUUCCUUAGACCAUGAGAUCAUGCAACUCCCGGAUACCGUAGGAGUGCUUUGGGUGUGCCAAACGUCACAACGUAACUGGGUGACUAUAAAGGUGCACUACGGGUAUCUCCGAAAGUGUCUGUUGGGUUGGCACGGAUCGAGACUGGGAUUUGUCACUCCGUGUGACGGAGAGGUAUCUCUGGGCCCACUCGGUAAUGCAUCAUCAUAAUGAGCUCUAUGUGACUAAGGCAUUAGUCACGGGAUCAUGCAUUGCGGUACGAGUAAAGAGACUUGCCGGUAACGAGAUUGAACAAGGUAUUGGGAUACCGACGAUCGAAUCUCGGGCAAGUAACAUACCGAUUGACAAAGGGAAUUGCAUACGGAUUGAUUGAAUCCUCGACACCGUGGUUCAUCCGAUGAGAUCAUCGUGGAACAUGUGGGAGCCAACAUGGGUAUCCAGAUCCCGCUAUUGGUUAUUGACCGGAGAGGCGUCUCGGUCAUGUCUGCAUGUCUCCCGAACCCGUAGGGUCUACACACUUAAGGUCCGGUGACGCUAGGGUUGUAGAGAUAUAUGUAUGCGGAAACCCGAAAGUUGUUCGGAGUCCCGGAUGAGAUCCCGGACGUCACGAGAGGUUCCGGAAUGGUCCGGAGGUGAAGAAUUAUAUAUAGGAAGUCAAGUUUCGGCCACCGGGAAAGUUUCGGGGGUUACCGGUAUUGUACCGGGACCACCGGAAGGGUCCCGGGGGUCCGCCGGGUGGGGCCACCUGUCCCGGAGGGCCCCGUGGGCUGAAAGUGGAAGGGAACCAGCCCUUAGUGGGCUGGGGCGCCCCCCUUGGGCCUCCCCCCAUGCGCCUAGGGUUGGGAACCCUAGGGGGGAGCUUCCCCCUUGCCUUGGGGGGCAAGGCAACCCCUUUCGACCCCUUGGCCGCCGCCCCCCCAACCCUAGAUGGGUUUUGGCCGGCCCCCCUCCCAAGGGGGCCUAUAUAAAGGGGGGGGAGGGAGGGCAGCAACCUACAGCCUUGGGCGCCUCCCUCCUCCCCUGCAACACCUCUCUCUCUCUCGUAGAAGCUUGGCGAAGCCCUGCCGGAGACCCGCUACAUCCAUCACCACGCCGUCGUGCUAUUGGAUCUCCAUCAACCUCUCCUUCCCCUUUGCUGGAUCAAGAAGGAGGAGACGUCGCUGCACCGUACGUGUGUUGAACGCGGAGGUGCUGUCCGUUCGGCACUCGGUUAUCGGUGAUUUGGAUCACGGCGAGUACAACUCCGUCAUCCACGUUCAUUGGAACGCUUCCGCUCGCGAUCUACAAGGGUAUGUAGAUGCACUCCUUUCCCCUCGUUGCUAGUAGACUCCAUAGAUGCAUCUUGGUGAGCGUAGGAAAAUUUUAAAUUAUGCUACGAUUCCCAACAGUGGCAUCAUGAGCCAGGUCUAUGCGUAGUUACUAUGCACGAGUAGAACACAAAGUAGUUGUGGGCGUUGAGUUUGCCAAUUCUUCUUGCUGCUACUAGUCUUUUCUUGUUUCGGCGGCAUUGUAGGAUGAAGCGGCCCGGACCGACCUUACACGUACACUUACGUGAGACAGGUUCCACCGACUGACAUGCACAAGUUGCAUAAGGUGGCUAGCGGGUGUCUGUCUCUCCUACUUUAGUCGGAACGGAUUCGAUGAAAAGGGUCCUUAUGAAGGGUAAAUAGAAAUUUGCAAAUCACGUUGUGGUCAUACGUAGGUAAGAAACGUUCUUGCUAGAAACCUACAAACCACGUAAAAACUUGCAACAACAAUUAGAGGACGUCUAACUUGUUUUUGCAGCAAGUGCUAUGUGAUAUGAUAUGGCCAGAAGAUGUGAUGAAUGAUAUAUGUGAUGUAUGAGAUUGAUCAUAUUCUUGUAAUAGGAAUCACGACUUGCAUGUCGAUGAGUAUGACAACCGGCAGGAGCCAUAGGAGUUGUCUUUAUUAUUUUGCAUGACCUGCGUGUCAUUGAAUAACGCCAUGUAAAUUACUUUACUUUGUUGCUAAACGGGUUAGCCAUAGAAGUAGAAGUAAUCGUUGGCGUGACGACUUCAUGAAGACACAAUGAUGGAGAUCAUGAUGAUGGAGAUCAUGGUGUCAUGCCGGUGACGAAGAUGAUCAUGGUGCCCCGAAGAUGGAGAUCAAAGGAGCAUGAUGAUAUUGGCCAUAUCAUGUCACUAUUUGAUUGCAUGUGAUGUUUAUCAUGUUUUUGCAUCUUAUUUGCUUAGAACGACGGUAGCAAGUAGGAUGAUCCCUUAUAAUAAUUUCAAGAAAAGUGUUCACCCUAACUGUGCACCGUUGCGAAGGUUCGUUGUUUCGAAGCACCACGUGAUGAUCGGGUGUGAUAGAUUCUAAUGUUCGAAUACAACGGGUGUUGACGAGCCUAGCAUGUACAGACAUGGACUCGGAACACACGCAAUACACUUAGGUUGACUUGACGAGCCUAGCAUGUACAGACAUGGCCUCGGAACACGGAGGACCGAAAGGUCGAGCAUGAGUCGUAUAGAAGAUACGAUCAACAUGGAGAUGUUCACCGAUCUUGACUAGUCCGUCUCACGUGAUGAUCGGACACGGCCUAGUUAAACUCGGAUCAUGUUUCACUUAGAUGACUAGAGGGAUGUCUAUCUGAGUGGGAGUUCAUUAAAUAAUUUGAUUAGAUGAACUCAAUUAUCAUGAACUUAGUCUAAAAUCUUUACACUAUGUCUUGUAGAUCAAAUGGCCAACGUUGUCCUCAAUUUCAACGUGUUCCUAGAGAAAACCAAGCUGAAAGAUGAUGGCAGCAACUAUACGGACUGGGUCCGGAACCUGAGGCUCAUCCUUAUAGUAGCCAAGAAAGAUUAUGUCUUAGAAGCACCGCUAGGUGAUGCACCAAUCCCACAGAACCAAGACGUUAUGAACGCUUGGCAAUCACGUACUGAUGAUUACUCCCUCGUUCAGUGCGGCAUGCUUUAUAGCUUAGAACGGGUCUCCAAAAGCGUUUUGAGAAACAUGGAGCAUAUGAGAUGUUCGAGGAGCUGAAACUGGUUUUUCAAGCUCAUGCCCGGGUCGAGAGAUAUGAUGUCUCCGACAAGUUCUUCAGCUGUAAAAUGGAGGAGAACAGUUCUGUUAGUGAGCACAUACUCAGAAUGUCUGGGUUGCACAACCGCUUGUCACAGCUGGGAGUUAAUCUCCCGGAUGUCGCGGUCAUUGACAGAAUCCUCCAGUCGCUUCCACCAAGCUACAAGAGCUUUGUGAUGAACUACAAUAUGCAGGGGAUGGAAAAGACCAUUCCCGAGGUAUAUUCAAUGCUGAAAUCAGCGGAAGGGGAGAUCAGAAAAGAACAUCAAGUGUUGAUGGUGAAUAAAACCACUAAGUUCAAGAAGGGCAAGGAUAAGAAGAACUUCAAGAAGGACGGCAAGGGAGUUGCCGCGCCCGGUAAACCAGUUACUGGGAAGAAGUCAAAGAAUGGACCCAAGCCCGGGACUGAGUGCUUUUAUUGCAAGGGAAGUGGUCACUGGAAGAGGAACUGCCCCAAGUACUUAGCAGACAAGAAGGCUGGCAACACCAAAGGUAUAUGUGAUAUACAUGUUAUUGAUGUGUACCUUACCAGCACUCGUAGUAGCUCCUGGGUAUUUGAUACCAGUGCGGUUGCUCAUAUUUGCAACUCAAAGCAGGAGCUGCGGAAUAAACGAAGACUGGCAAAGGACGAGGUGACGAUGCGCGUCGGGAAUGGUUCCAAGGUCGAUGUGAUCGCCGUCGGCACGCUACCUCUACAUUUCCCUACGGGAUUAGUUUUAAACCUCAAUAAUUGUUAUUUAGUGCCAGCUUUGAGCAUGAACAUUGUGUCUGGAUCUCGUUUAAUUCGAGAUGGCUACUCAUUUAAAUCCGAGAAUAAUGGUUGUUCUAUUUAUUUGAGAGAUAUGUUUUAUGGUCAUGCCCCGCUGGUCAAUGGUUUAUUUUUGAUGAAUCUCGAACAUGAUGUUACACAUGUUCAUAGUGUGAAUACCAAAAGAUGUAAAGUUGAUAAUGAUAGUCCCACAUACUUGUGGCACUGCCGCCUUGGUCACAUUGGUGUCAAGCAUAUGAAGAAGCUCCAUGCAGAUGGACUUUUGGAGUCUCUUGAUUACGAAUCAUUUGACACGUGCGAACCAUGCCUCAUGGGUAAGAUGACCAAGACUCUGUUCUCCGGAACAAUGGAGCGAGCAACCAACUUAUUGGAAAUCAUACAUACCGAUGUGUGUGGUCCAAUGAGUGUUGAGGCUCGCGGAGGAUAUCGUUAUGUUCUCACUCUCACUGAUGAUUUAAGUAGAUAUGGAUAUGUCUACCUGAUGAAACACAAGUCUGAAACCUUUGAAAAGUUCAAAGAAUUUCAGAGUGAGGUUGAGAAUCAAUGUGACAGGAGAAUAAAAUUCCUACGAUCAGAUCGUGGUGGAGAAUAUUUAAGUCACGAGUUUGGUGCACACUUAAGGAAAUGUGGAAUAGUUUCACAACUCACGCCGCCUGGAACACCUUAGAGAAAUGGUGUGUCCGAACGUCGUAAUCGCACUCUAUUGGAUAUGGUGCGACCUAUGAUGUCUCUUACCGAUUUACCGCUCUCAUUUUGGGGUUAUGCUUUAGAGACUGCCGCAUUCACAUUAAAUAGGGCUCCGUCGAAAUCCGUUGAGACGACACCGUAUGAAUUAUGGUUUGGGAAGAAACCUAAGCUGUCGUUUCUAAAAGUUUGGGGAUGCGAUGCUUAUGUCAAGAAACUUCAACCUGAAAAGCUCGAACCCAAGUCAGAAAAAUGCGUCUUCAUAGGAUACCCUAAGGAAACUAUUGGGUAUACCUUCUACCUCAGAUCCGAAGGCAAGAUCUUCGUUGCCAAGAACGGGUCCUUUCUAGAGAAGGAGUUUCUCUCGAAAGAAUUGAGUGGGAGGAAAGUGGAACUUGAUGAGGUGAUAGUCACCCCUUCCGAACCGGAAAGUAGCGCAGCGCGGGAAAAUGUUCCUGUGGUGCCUACACCGACUGGGGAGGAAGUUAAUGAUGAUGAUCAUGAAGCUUCGGAUCAAGUUACUGAACUUCGUAGGUCCACAAGGACACGUUCCGCACCAGAGUGGUACGGCAACCCUGUCCUGGAAAUCAUGUUGUUAGACAACGGUGAACCUUCGAACUAUGAAGAAGCGAUGGCGGGCCCGGAUUCCGACAAAUGGCUAGAAGCCAUGAAAUCUGAGAUAGAAUCCAUGUAUGAAAACGAAGUAUGGACUUUGACUGACUUGCCCGAUGAUCGGCGAGCCAUAGAAAACAAAUGGAUCUUUAAGAAGAAGACGGACGCGGAUGGUAAUGUGACCAUCUACAAAGCUCGACUUGUUGCUAAGGGUUAUCGACAAGUUCAAGGGGUUGACUACGAUGAGACUUUCUCACCCGUAGCGAAGCUUAAAUCCGUCCGAAUCAUGUUAGCAAUUGCCGCAUACUAUGAUUAUGAGAUAUGGCAGAUGGACGUCAAAACGGCAUUCCUUAACGGCUUCCUUAAGGAAGAUUUGUAUAUGAUGCAACCGGAAGGUUUUGUCGAUCCUAAGAAUGCUAACAAAGUGUGCAAGCUCCAGUGCUCAAUCUAUGGGCUGGUGCAAGCAUCUCGGAGUUGGAACAUUCGCUUUGAUGAGAUGAUCAAAGCGUUUGGGUUUUCACAGACUUAUGGAGAAGCCUGUGUUUACAAGAAAGUGAGUGGGAGCUCUGUAGCAUUUCUCAUAUUAUAUGUGGAUGACAUAUUAUUGAUGGGAAAUGAUAUAGAAUUCUUGGAAAGUAUUAAGGCCUAUUUGAAUAAGUGUUUUUCAAUGAAGGACCUUGGAGAAGCUGCUUAUAUAUUAGGCAUCAAGAUCUAUAGAGAUAGAUCAAGACGCCUCAUUGGUCUUUCACAAAGUACAUACCUUGACAAGAUAUUGAAGAAGUUCAGUAUGGAUCAGUCCAAGAAGGGGUUCUUGCCUAUAUUGCAAGGUGUGCAAUUGAGCACGGCUCAAUGCCCGACCACGGCAGAAGAUAUAGAAGAGAUGAGUGUCAUCCCCUAUGCCUCGGCCAUAGGGUCUAUUAUGUAUGCCAUGCUGUGUACCAGACCUGAUGUAAACCUUGCCGUAAGUUUGGUAGGAAGGUACCAAAGUAAUCCCGGCAAGGAACACUGGACAGCGGUCAAGAAUAUCCUAAAGUACCUGAAGAGGACUAAGGAUAUGUUUCUCGUUUAUGGAGGUGACGAAGAGCUCGUCGUAAAGGGUUACGUCGACGCUAGCUUCGACAUAGAUCUGGAUGACUCGAAGUCACAGACCGGAUACGUGUAUAUUUUGAAUGGAGGAGCAGUAAGCUGGUGCAGUUGCAAGCAAAGCGUCGUGGCGGGAUCUACAUGUGAAGCGGAGUACAUGGCAGCCUCGGAGGCAGCACAGGAAGCAGUCUGGAUGAAGGAGUUCAUUACCGACCUAGGGGUGAUUCCCAAUGCGUCGGGCCCAAUGACUCUCUUCUGUGACAACACUGGAGCUAUUGCCCUUGCGAAGGAGCCCAGGUUUCACAGGAAGACCAGGCAUAUCAAGCGUCGCUUCAACUCCAUUCGUGAAAGUGUUCAAAAUGGAGACAUAGAUAUUUGUAAAGUACACACGGACCUGAAUGUAGCAGAUCCGUUGACUAAACCUCUCCCUAGGGCAAAACAUGAUCAACACCAGGACGCAAUGGGUGUUUGAUUCAUCACUAUGUAACUAGAUUAUUGACUCUAGUGCAAGUUGGAGACUGUUGGAAAUAUGCCCUAGAGGCAAUAAUAAAUGGUUAUUAUUAUAUUUCUUUGUUCAUGGUAAUUGUCUAUUGUUCAUGCUAUAAUUGUAUUGUCCGGAAAUCGUAAUACAUGUGUGAAUACAUAGACCACAAAGUGUCCCUAGUAAGCCUCUAGUUGACUAGCUCGUUGAUCAACAGAUAGUCAUGGUUUCCUGACUAUGGACAUUGGAUGUCAUUGAUAACGGGAUCACAUCAUUAGGAGAAUGAUGUGAUGGACAAGACCCAAUCCUAAGCAUAGCAUAAAAGAUCGUGUAGUUUCGUUUGCUAGAGCUUUUCCAAUGUCAAGUAUCUUUUCCUUAGACCAUGAGAUCGUGCAACUCCCGGAUACCCUAGGAGUGCUUUGGGUGUGCCAAACGUCACAACGUAACUGGGUGACUAUAAAGGUGCACUACGGGUAUCUCCGAAAGUGUCUGUUGGGUUGGCACGGAUCGAGACUGGGAUUUGUCACUCCGUGUGACGGAGAGGUAUCUCUGGACCCACUCGGUAAUGCAUCAUCAUAAUGAGCUCAAUGUGACUAAGGCGUUAGUCACGGGAUCAUGCAUUGCGGUACGAGUAAAGAGACUUGCCGGUAACAAGAUUGAACAAGGUAUUGGGAUACCGACGAUCGAAUCUCGGGCAAGUAACAAACCGAUUGACAAAGGGAAUUGCAUACGGAUUGAUUGAAUCCUCGACACCGUGGUUCAUCCGAUGAGAUCAUCGUGGAACAUGUGGGAGCCAACAUGGGUAUCCAGAUCCCGCUGUUGGUUAUUGACCGGAGAGGCGUCUCGGUCAUGUCUGCAUGUCUCCCGAACCCGUAGGGUCUACACACUUAAGGUCCGGUGACGCUAGGGUUGUAGAGAUAUAUGUAUGCGGAAACCCGAAAGUUGUUUGGAGUCCCGGAUGAGAUCCCGGACGUCACGAGAGGUUCCGGAAUGGUCCGGAGGUGAAGAAUUAUAUAUAGGAAGUCAAGUUUCGGCCACCGGGAAAGUUUCGGGGGUUACCGGUAUUGUACCGGGACCACCGGAAGGGUCCCGGGGGUCCGCCGGGUGGGGCCACCUGUCCCGGAGGGCCCCGUGGGCUGAAAGUGGAAGGGAACCAGCCCUUAGUGGGCUGGGGCGCCCCCCUUGGGCCUCCCCCCAUGCGCCUAGGGUUGGGAACCCUGGGGGGGAAGCUUCCCCCUUGCCUUGGGGGGCAAGGCAACCCCUUUCCACCCCUUGGCCGCCGCCCCCCCAACCCUAGAUGGGUUUUGGCCGGCCCCCCUCCCAAGGGGGCCAAUAUAAAGGGGGGAGGGAGGGCAGCAACCUACAGCCUUGGGCGCCUCCCUCCUCCCCUGCAACACCUCUCUCUCUCGCAGAAGCUUGGCGAAGCCCUGCCGGAGACCCGCUACAUCCAUCACCACGCCGUCGUGCUAUUGGAUCUCCAUCAACCUCUCCUUCCCCUUUGCUGGAUCAAGAAGGAGGAGACGUCGCUGCACCGUACGUGUGUUGAACGCGGAGGUGCCGUCCGUUCGGCACUCGGUCAUCGGUGAUUUGGAUCACGGCGAGUACAACUCCUCAUCCACGUUCAUUGGAACGCUUCCGCUCGCGAUCUACAAGGGUAUGUAGAUGCACUCCUUUCCCCUCGUUGCUAGUAGACUCCAUAGAUGCAUCUUGGUGAGCGUAGGAAAAUUUUAAAUUAUGCUACAAUUCCCAACAGUAAAACCACAAUGUGAUAUGCCAAUUUCUAUUUACCCUUCAUCAGGACCCUUUUCAUCGAAUCCGUUCCGACUAAAGUGGGAGAGACAGACACCCGCUAGCCACCUUAUGCAACUAGUGCAUGUCAGUCGGUGGAACCUGUCUCACGUAAGCGUACGUGUAAGGUCGGUCCGGGCCGCUUCAUCCCACAAUGUCGCCGAAACAAGAUAAGACUAGUAGCGGCAAGAAGAAUUGGCAACAUCUACGCCCACAACUACUUUGUGUUCUACUCGUGCAUAGAAACUACGCAUAGACCUAGCUCAUGAUGCCACUGUGGGGGAACAUAGCAGAAAUUCAAAAUUUUCUACGCAUCACCAAGAUCAAUCUAUGGAGUAAUCUAGCAACGAGGGGAAGGGGAGUGCAUCUACAUACCAUUGUAGAUCGCGAUGUGGAAGCGUUGCAAGAACGCGGAUGAAGGAGUCGUACUCGUAGCGAUUCAGAUCGCGGUUGAUUCCGAUCCAAGCACCGAAGAACGGUGCCUCCGCGUUCAACACACGUGCAGCCCGGUGACGUCUCCCACGCCUUGGUCCAGCAAGGAGAGAGGGAGAGGUUGGGGAAGACUCCAUCCAGCAGCAGCACGAUGGCGUGGUGGUGAUGGAGGAGCGUGGCAAUCCCGCAGGGCUUCGCCAAGCACCGCGGGAGAGGAGGAGGAAGAGGGAAGGGCUGCGCCAAGAGAGACCGAAAAACUCAUAUGUUGGGCAGCCCUGGACCUCAACUAUAUAUAAGGGGGGGAGGGGGCUGCGCCCCCUCUAGGGUUCCCACCCCAAGGGGUGGCGGCCAGCCCUAGAUCCCAUCUAGGGGGGCGGCCAAGGGGAGGAGAAAGGGGGGCGCCACUAGGGUGGGCCUUAAGGCCCAUCUGGACCUAGGGUUUGCCCCCUCCCACUCUCCCAUGCGCCUUGGGCCUUGGUGGGGGGGCGCACCAGCCCACCUGGGGCUGGUCCCCUCCCACACUUAGCCCACGCAGCCUUCUGGGGCUGGUGGCCCCACUUGGUGGACCCCCGGGACCCUCCCGGUGGUCCCGGUACAUUACCGAUAUCACCCGAAACUUUUCCGGUGACCAAAACAGGACUUCCCAUAUAUAAAUCUUUACCUCCGGACCAUUCCGGAACUCCUCGUGACGUCCGGGAUCUCAUCCAAGACUCCGAACAACAUUUGGUAACCACGUAUAUCUAUUCCCUAUAACCCUAGCAUCAUCGAACCUUAAGUGUGUAGACCCUACGGGUUCGGGAACCAUGCAGACAUGACCGAGACGUUCUCCGGUCAAUAACCAACAGCGGGAUCUGGAUACCCAUGUUGGCUCCCACAUGUUCCACGAUGAUCUCAUCGGAUGAACCACGAUGUCGGGUAUUCAAUCAAUCCCGUAUACAAUUCCCUUUGUCUAUCGGUAUGUUACUUGCCCGAGAUUCGAUCGUCGGUAUCCCGAUACCUUGUUCAAUCUCGUUACCGGCAAGUCUCUUUACUCGUUCCGUAACUCACAUCAUCCCGUGAUCAACUCCUUGGUCACACUGUGCACAUUAUGAUGAUGUCCUACCGAGUGGGCCCAGAGAUACCUCUCCGUUUACACGGAGUGACAAAUCCCAGUCUCGAUUCGUGCCAACCCAAUAGACACUUUCAGAGAUACCUGUAGUGCACCUUUAUAGUCACCCAGUUACGUUGUGACGUUUGGUACACCCAAAGCAUUCCUACGGUAUCCGGGAGUUGCACAAUCUCAUGGUCUAAGGAAAUGAUACUUGACAUUAGAAAAACUCUGAGCAAACGAACUACACGAUCUUGUGCUAGGCUUAGGAUUGGGUCUUGUCCAUCACAUCAUUCUCCUAAUGAUGUGAUCCCGUUAUCAAUGACAUCCAAUGUCCAUGGUCAGGAAACGGUAACCAUCUAUCGAUCAACGAGCUAGUCAACUAGAGGCUUACUAGGGACAUGGUGUUGUCUAUGUAUCCACACAUGUAUCUGAGUUUCCUAUCAAUACAAUUCUAGCAUGGAUAAUAAACGAUUAUCAUGAACAAGGAAAUAUAAUAAUAACCUAUUUAUUAUUGCCUCUAGGGCAUAUUUCCAACAGGUGCCCCCCUCCACCAUAGUCCACCUCGAUAAUACUGUAGCGGUGCUUAGGCAAAGCCCUGCGUUGGUAGAACAUCAUCAUCGUCACCACGCCGUCGUGCUGACGAAACUCUCCCUCAACACUCGGCUGGAUCGGAGUUCGAGGGACGUCAUCGGGCUGAACGUGUGCUGGACUCGGAGGUGCCGUGCGUUCGGUACUUGAUCGGUCGGAUCGUGAAGACGUACGACUACAUCAACCGCGUCGUGCUAACGCUUCCGCUUUCGGUCUACGAGGGUACGUGGACAACACUCUCCCCUCUCGUUGCUAUGCAUCACCAUGAUCUUGCAUGUGCGUAGGAAAAUUUUGAAAUUACUACGUUCCCCAACAGUGGCAUCCGAGCCAGGUUUUAUGCGUAGAUGUUAUAUGCACGAGUAGAACACAAGUGAGUUGUGGGCGAUACAAAUCAUACUGCUUACCAGCAUGUCACACUUUGGUUCGGCGGUAUUGUUGGAUGAAGCGGCCUGGACCAACAUUACGCGUACGCUUACGCGAGACUUGUUCUACCGACGUGCUUUGCACACAGGUGGCUGGCGGGUGUCAGUUUCUCCAACUUUAGUUGAACCGAGUGUGGCUACGCCCGGUCCUUGAGAAGGUUAAAACAGCACUAACUUGACGAACUAUCGUUGUGGUUUUGAUGCGUAGGUAAGAACGGUUCUUGCUCAGCCCGUAGCAGCCACGUAAAACUUGCAACAACAAAGUAGAGGACGUCUAACUUGUUUUUGCAGGGCAUGUUGUGAUGUGAUAUGGUCAAGACGUGAUGAGAUAUAAGUUGUUGUAUGAGAUGAUCAUGUUUUGUUGAAGUUAUCGGCAACUGGCAGAAGCCUUAUGGUUGUCUCUUUAUUACAUAAGAUGAAAGCGCAAAAUAAUUGCUUUACUUUAUCGCUAUGCGAUAGCAAUAGUUGCAAGAGCAAUAGUUGGCGAGACGACCAUGUGACGACACAUUGAUAUUAGAUCAAGAUGAUGGAGAUCAUGGUGUCAUGCCGGUGACGAUAGAGAUCAUGACGGUACUUUGGAGAUGGAGAUCAAAGGCGCAAGAUGAUCAUGGCCAUAUCAUGUCACAUAUUUUGAUUGCAUGUGAUGUUUAUCUUUUAUACAUCUUAUUUUGCUUAGUUUGACGGUAGCUUUAUAAGAUGAUCUCUCACUAAAUUUCAAGAUAAAAGUGUUCUCCCUGAGUAUGCACCGUUGCCAAAGUUCGUCGUGCCCAGACACCACGUGAUGAUCGGGUGUGAUAAGCUCUACGUCCAUCUACAACGGGUGCAAGCCAGUUUUGCACACGCAGAAUACUCAGGUUAAACUUGACGAGCCUAGCAUAUGCAGAUAUGGCCUCGGAACACUGAGACCGAAAGGUCGAGCGUGAAUCAUAUAGUAGAUAUGAUCAACAUAGUGAUGUUCACCAUUGAAAACUACUCCAUUUCACGUGAUCACUUAGAUGAUUAGAGGGAUGUCUAUCUAAGUGGGAGUUCUUAAGUAAUAUGAUUAAUUGAACUUCAAUUUAUCAUGAACUUAGUCCUGAUAGUAUUUUGCAAAUAAUGCUAUAGAUCAAUAGCUCGCGUUGUUGCUUCCCUAUGUUUUAUAUGUGUUCCUAGAGAAAACUAAAUUGAAAGAUGUUAGUAGCAAUGAUGCGGAUUGGAUCCAUGAUCUGAGGUUUAGCCUCAUUGCUGCACAGAAGAAUUAUGUCCUUGAUGCACCGCUAGGUGACAGACCUAUUGCAGGAGCAGAUGCAGACGUAUGAACGUUUGGCUAGCUCAAUAUGAUGACUACUUGAUAGUUUAGUGCGCCAUGCUUAACGGCUUAGAAUCGGGACUUCAAAGACGUUUUGAACGUCAUGGACCAUAUGAGAUGUUCCAGGAGUUGAAGUUAAUAUUUCAAGCAAAUACCCGAGUUGAGAGAUAUGAAGUCUCCAACAAGUUCUAUAGCUAAAAGAUGGAGUACAAUAGCUCAAGCAGUGAGCAUGUACUCAGAUUGUCUGGGUACAACAAUCGCUUGAAUCAAGUGGGAGUUAAUCUUCUAGAUAAGAUAGUGAUUGACAGAAUUAUCUAGUCACCAUCACCAAGUUAGUAGAACUUCAUGAUGAACUAUAAUAUGCAAGGGAUAACGGAAACGAUUCCCAAGCUCUUCGUGAUGCUGAAAUCGACGAAGGUAGAAAUCAAGAAAAACAUCAAGUGUUGAUGGUUGACAAGACCACUAGUUUCAAGAAAAAGGGCAAAGGGAAGAAGGGGAACUUCAAGAAGAACGGCAAGCGAGUUGCUGCUCAAGUGAAGAAGCCCAAGUCUGGACCUAAGCCUGAGACUGAGUGCUUCUACUGGAAAGGAACUGGUCACUGGAAGCGGAACUGCCCCAAGUAUUUGGCGGAUAAGAAGGAUGGCAAAGUGAACAAAGGUAUAUUUGAUAUACAUGUUAUUGAUGUGUACUUUACUAGUGUUUAUAGCAACCCCUAAGUAUUUGAUACUAGUUCAGUUGCUAUGAUUAGUAACUCGAAACGGGAGUUGCAGAAUAAAUAGAGACUAGUUAAGGGUGAAGUGACGAUGUGUAUUGGAAGUGGUUCCAAGAUUGAUAUGGUCAUCAUCGCAGACUCCCUAUACUUUCGGGAUUAGUGUUGAACCUAAAUAAGUGUUAUUUGGUGUUUGCGUUGAGCAUGAAUAUGAUUUGAUCAUGUUUAUUGCAAUACGGUUAUUCAUUUAAGUUAGAGAACAAUUAUUGUUCUGUUUACAUGAAUAAAACCUUCUAUGGUCAUACACCCAAUGAAAAUGGUUUGUUGGAUCUCGAUCGUAGUGAUACACAUAUUCAUAAUAUUGAAGCCAAAAAGAUGCAAAGUUAAUAAUGAUAGUGCAACUUAUUUGUGGCACUGCCGUUUAGGUCAUAUUGGUGUAAAACGCAUGAAGAAACUCCAUGCUGAUGGGAUUUUGGAAUCACUUGAUUAUGAAUCACUUGAUGCUUGCGAACCAUGCCUCUUCGGCAAGAUGACUAAAACGGCGUUCUCCGGAACAAUGAAGCAAGCAACAGAUUUGUUGGAAAUCAUACAUACUGAUGUAUGUGGUCCGAUGAGUGUUGAGGCUCGCGGCGGGUAUCGUUAUUUUCUGACGUUCACAGAUGAUUUGAGCAGAUAUGGGUAUAUCUACUUGAUGAAACAUAAGUCUGAAACAUUUGAAAAGUUCAAAGAAUUUCAGAGUGAAGUGGAAAAUCAUCGUGACAAGAAAAUAAGGUUUCUACGAUCUGAUCGCGGAGACGAAUAUUUGAGUUACGAGUUUGGUAUUCAAUUAAAACAAUGUGGAAUAGUUUCACAAAUUCGUGCCACCUGGAACACCACAACAUAAUGGUGUGUCUGAACAUCAUAACCGUACUUUAUUGGAUAUAGUGCAAUCUAUGAUGUCUCUUACCGAUUUACCACUAUCGUUUUGGGGUGAUGAAUUAGAGACAACUGCAUUCACGUUAAAUAGGGCACCAUCUAAAUCCGUUGAGACGACACCAUAUGAACUGUGGUUUGGCAAGAAACCAAAGUUGUCGUUUCUUAAAGUUUGGGAUUGCAAUGCUUAUAAGAAAAAGUUUCAUCCUGAUAAGCUCAAACCCAAAUCGGAGAAAUGUGUCUUCAUAGGAUACCCAAAGGAGAUAGUUGGGUGCACCUUCUAUCACAGAUCCGAAGGCAAGAUAUUCGUUGCUAAAUUUGGAUCCUUUCUAGAAAAGGAGUUUCUCUCGAAAGAAGUGAGUGGGAGGAAAGUAGAACUUGAUGAGGUAACUGUACCUGCUCCCUUAUUAGAAAGUAGUUCAUCACAGAAACCGGUUCCUGUGACUCCUACACCAAUUAGUGAGGAAGCUAAUGAUGAUGAUCAUGUAACUUCAGAUCAAGUUACUACCGAACCUAGUAGGUCAACCAGAGUGAGAUCCGCACCAGAGUGGUACGGUAAUCCUGUUCUGGAGGUCAUGUUACUUGACCAUGACGAACCUAGGAACUAUGAGGAAGCGAUGAUGAGCCCAGAUUCCGCGAAAUGGUUCGAGGCCAUGAAAUCUGAGAUGUGAUCCAUGUAUGAGAACAAAGUGUGGACUUUGGUUGACUUGCCCGAUGAUCGGCAAGCCAUAGAAAAUAAAUUGAUCUUCAAGAGGAAGACGGACGCUGAUAGUAGUGUUACUAUCUAUAAAGCUAGACUUGUCGGAAAAAAAGGUUUUUGACAAAGUUCAAGGUGUUGACUACGAUGAGAUUUUCUCACUCGUAGCGAUGCUUAAGUCUGCUCGAAUCAUGUUAGCAAUUGCCGCAUUUUAUGAAAUCUGGCAAAUGGAUAAACAAAACUGCAUUCCUUAAUGGAUUUAUUAAAGAAGAGUUGUAUAUGAUGCAACCAGAAGGUUUUGUCGAUCCUAAAGGUGUUAACAAAAUGUGCAAGCUCCAGCGAUCCAUCUAUGGACUGGUGCAAGCAUCUCGGAGUUGGAAUAUACGCUUUGAUGAGUUGAUCAAAGCAUAUAGUUUUAUACAGACUGUUGGGGAACGUAGUAAUUUCAAAAAAAUUCCUACGCACAUGCAAGAUCAUGGUGAUGCAUAGCAACGAGAGGGGAGAGUGUUGUCCACGUACCCUCGUAGACCGACAGCGGAAGCGUUAUCACAACGCGGUUGAUGUAGUCGUACGUCUUCACGAUCCGACCGAUCAAGUACCGAACGUACGGCACCUCCGAGUUCUACACACGUUCAGCUCGAUGACGUCCCUCGAACUCCGAUCCAGCCGAGUGUUGAGGGAGAGUUUCGUCAGCACGACGGCGUGGUGACGAUGAUGAUGUUCCACCGACGCAGGGCUUUGCCUAAGCUCCGCAACGGUAUUAUCGAGGUGUAAUAUGGUGGAGGGGGGCACCGCACACGGCUAAGAGAUCUCAAGGAUCAAUUUUUGUGUCUCUGGGGUGCCCCCCUGCCCCCGUAUAUAAAGGAGCAAGGGGGAGGCAGCCGGCCAAGGGGAGAGGCGCGCCAUAGGGGGGAGUCCUACUCCCACCGGGAGUAGGACUCCUCCUUUCCUUGUGGGAGUAGGAGAAGGGAAGGGGGAAGGAGAAAGAAGGAAGGGUGCGCCCCCCUUCCCUAGUCCAAUUCGGACCAGACCAUGGGGAGGGGUGCGGCCACCUUUUGAGGCCUUUCUCUCCUUUCCUGUAUGGCCCAUUAAGGCCCAAUACGAAUUCCCGUAACUCUCCGGUACUCCGAAAAAUACCCGAAUCACUCGGAACCUUUCCGAAGUCCGAAUAUAGUCGUCCAAUAUAUCGAUCUUUACGUCUCGACCAUUUCGAGACUCCUCGUCAUGUCCGUGAUCACAUCCGGGACUCCGAACAACCUUCGGUACAUCAAAACUCAUAAUAUAACUGUCAUCGAAACUUUAAGCGUGCGGACCCUACGGGUUCGAGAACUAUGUAGACAUGACCGAGACACGUCUCCGGUCAAUAACCAAUAGCGGAACAUGGAUGCUCAUAUUGGCUCCCACAUAUUCUACGAAGAUCUUUAUCGGUCAGACCGCAUAACAACAUACGUUGUUCCCUUUGUCACCGGUAUGUUACUUGCCCGAGAUUUGAUCGUCGGUAUCUCGAUACCUAGUUCAAUCUCGUUACCGGCAAGUCUCUUUACUCGUUCCGUAACACAUCAUCCCGCAACUAACUCAUUAGUCACAAUGCUUGCAAGGCUUAUAGUGAUGUGCAUUACCGAGUGGGCCCAGAGAUACCUCUCCGACAAUUGGAGUGACAAAUCCUAAUCUCGAAAUACGCCAACCCAACAAGUACCUUUGGAGACACCUGUAGAGCACCUUUAUAAUCACCCAUUUACGUUGUGACGUUUGCUAGCACACAAAGUGUUCCUCCGGUAAACGGGUGUUGCAUAAUCUCAUAGUCAUAGGAGCAUGUAUAAGUCAUGAAGAAAGCAAUAGCAACAUACUAAACGAUCGGGUGCUAAGCUAACGGAAUGGGUCAAGUCAAUCACGUCAUUCUCCUAAUGAGGUGAUCCCGUUAAUCAAAUGACAACUCAUGUCUAUGGCUAGGAAACAUAACCAUCUUUGAUUAACGAGCUAGUCAAGUAGAGGCAUACUAGUGACACUCUGUUUGUCUAUGUAUUCACACAUGUAUUAUGUUUCCGGUUAAUACAAUUCUAGCAUGAAUAAUAAACAUUUAUCAUGAUAUAAGGAAAUAAAUAAUAACUUUAUUAUUGCCUCUAGGGCAUAUUUCCUUCACAGACUUGCGGUGAAGCCUGUAUUUACAAGAAAGUGAGUGGGAGCACUACAACAUUUCUGAUAAGUAUAUGUGAAUGACAUAUUGUUGAUCGGAAAUAAUGUAGAAUUAUUCUGCAAAGCAUAAAGGAGUGUUUGAAAGGAGUUUUUUCAAAGAAAGACCUCGGUGAAGCUGCUUACAUAUUGAGCAUCAAGAUCUAUAGAAAUAGAUCAAGACGCUUGAUAAGUUUUUUCAAUGAGUACAUACCUUGACAAGAUUUUGAAAUAGUUCAAAAUGGAACAGUCAGAGAAAGAAGUUCUUGCCUGUGUUACAAAGUAUGAAAUUGAGUAAGACUCAAAGCCCGACCACGGCAGAAGAUAGAAAGAGAAUGAAAGUCAUUACCUAUGCCUCAGCCAUAGGUUCUAUAAAGUAUGCCAUGCUGUGUACCGGAUCUAUUGUAUACCCUACCACUAAGUUUGGCAAGGGAGUGCAAUAGUGAUCUAGGAGUAGAUCACUGGACAACUGUCAAAAUUACCCUUAGUGGAAUAAGGAUAUGUUUCUCGAUUAUGGAAGUGACAAAAGGUUCGUCGUAAAGGGUUAUGUCGAUGCAAGUUUUGACACUGAUCCAGAUGACUCUAAGUCUCAAUCUGGAUACAUAUUAAAAGUGGGAGCUAUUAGCUAGAGUAGCUCCGUGCAGAGCAUUGUAGACAUAGAAAUUUGCAAAAUACUUAUGGAUCUGAAUGUGAUAGGCCCGUUGACUAAAAUUAUCUCACAAGCAAAACAUGAUCACAUCUUAGUACUCUUUGGGUGUUAAUCACAUAGCGAUGUGAACUAGAUUAUUGACUCUAGUAAACCCUUUGGGUGUUGGUCACGUGACGAUGUGAACUAUGGGUGUUAAUCACAUGAUGAUGUGAACUAUUGGUGUUAAAUCACAUGGUGAUGUGAACUAGAUUAUUGACUCUAGUGCAAGUGGGAGACUGAAGGAAAUAUGCCCUAGAGGCAAUAAUAAAGUUAUUAUUUAUUUCCUUAUAUCAUGAUAAAUGUUUAUUAUUCAUGCUAGAAUUGUAUUAACCGGAAACUUAGUACAUGUGUGAAUACAUAGACAAACAUAGUGUCACUAGUAUGCCUCUACUUGACUAGCUCGUUGAUCAAAGAUGGUUAUGUUUCCUAGCCAUAGACAUGAGUUGUCAUUUUAUUAACGGGGUCACAUCAUUAGGAGAAUGAUGUGAUUGAAUUGACCCAUUCCGUUAGCUUAGCACUCGAUCGUUUAGUAUGUUGCUAUUGCUUUCUUCAUGACUUAUACAUGUUCCUAUGACUAUGAGAUUAUGCAACUCCCGUUUACCGGAGGAACACUUUGUGUGCUACCAAACGUCACAACGUAACUGGGUGAUUAUAAAGGUGCUCUACAGGUGUCUCCGAAGGUACGUGUUGGGUUGGCGUAUUUCGAGAUUAGGAUUUGUCACUCCGAUUGUCGGAGAGGUAUCUCUGGGCCCACUCGGUAAUACACAUCACUUAAGCCUUGCAAGCAUUGCAACUAAUGAGUUCGUUGCGGGAUGAUGUAUUACGGAAUGAGUAAAGAGACUUGCCGGUAACGAGAUUGAACUAGGUAUUGAGAUACCGACGAUCGAAUCUCGGGCAAGUAACAUACCGAUGACAAAGGGAACAACGUAUGUUGUUAUGCGGUCUGACCGAUAAAGAUCUUCGUAGAAUAUGUGGGAGCCAAUAUGAGCAUCCAUGUUCCGCUAUUGGUUAUUGACCGGAGACGUGUCUCGGUCAUGUCUACAUAGUUCUCGAACCCGUAGGGUCCGCACGCUUAAAGUUUCGAUGACAGUUAUAUUAUGAGUUUUGAUGUACCGAAGGUUGUUCGGAGUCCCGGAUGUGAUCACGGACAUGACGAGGAGUCUCGAAAUGGUCGAGACAUGAAGAUUGAUAUAUUGGAAGCCUAUAUUUGGAUAUCGGAAGUGUUCCGAGUGAAACGGGUUUAAUGGGCCAUAGUGGGCCUUAGUGGAGAAGAGGAGAGGCGGCUAGGGCAGGGCCGCGCGCCCCUCCCCCUCUAGUCCGAAUAGGACAAGGAGAGGGGGGCGGCGCCCCCCCUUUCCUUCCUCUCUCCCUCCUCUUUCCCCCCUUCUCCUAAUCCAACAAGGAAGGGAGGGAGUCCUACUCCCGGUGGGAGUAGGACUCCUCCUGGCGCGCCUCCUCCUGGCCGACCGCACCUCCCCUCCUUGCUCCUUUAUAUACGGGGGCAAGGGGGCACCCCAAAGACACAACAAUUGAUUUGAUCUUUUAGCCGUGUGCGGUUCCCCCCUCCACCAUAGUCCACCUCGAUAAUACUGUAGCGGUGCUUAGGCGAAGCCCUGCGUCGGUAGAACAUCAUCAUCGUCACCAUGCCGUCGUGCUGACGAAACUCUCCCUCAACACUCGGCUGGAUCGGAGUUCGAGGGACGUCAUCGGGCUGAACGUGUGCUGAACUCGGAGGUGCCGUGCGUUCGGUACUUGAUCGGUCGGAUCGUGAAGACGUACGACUACAUCAACCGCGUUGUGCUAACGCUUCUGCUUUCGGUCUACGAGGGUACGUGGACAACACUCUCCCCUCUCGUUGCUAUGCAUCACCAUGAUUUUGCGUGUGCGUAGGAAAAUUUUGAAAUUACUACGUUCCCCAACAAUAGCCUGCCGCUACGCGAGUGUGGUGGGGCGGGAGGGAUGAAGUGGGGGAGGCCGGCGGCACGAGAAUGUGGAGAAUGGAUGAAAUGGGGGAGGAUGACGGCGCGAGAGUGUGGUGGGGUUAAAAUAGGGGGAGGCUGGCGGCACGAGAGGGAGAUCUAGUGGAUAAGAAUGUUGGGGAUUAUAAAGGGCCCCGCUCUCCCUCCUUUGGGUCGGGCUACAUUUGAGGCGUGGGCCUAGUACCCAAUACUAGUAGUACCACUCAGUCCUGGCGCUGAGACUAUGUUGCACAUCGAUGAUAAUUUUUGUAUACUUGUGUCAAUUAAAGUUUAAUUUUAAAAUUUCAAAUGUUGGUAUGAACUUUCAAGGAAAUGGUAAAACUUUUAGAGUUACGCACCCAAGUUCUCACAUAGCCUGAUCCCAGAUCAGUUGGCGCGCAAGGCACGGGCUCCGUCAGCCGGAGACUCAUCCCAGAUCGGAUCAAUUCCAGCUUUCGGUGGCCUCCCGUCGGGAGAAAGCCUAACUUUCGGAUCCUUCACCUUCACUGCGGACGGGACGGGCUGGAUCGACAACAACCCACCAGCCUCCCUUUCUCACACCGUCUUCUUUGGCGCACUGGCAAUCGUCAUCGACCGUCAAUGUGGCUUCCACGUGUGCGUCCUGCCACUCCAGCAGAUCGCAUCAUCGGUCCCAUUAGGGCCCGCAACGCCUUUAACACCAACCUCCGGCCUCAGGGAUAUCUUUGGGCUCCACAAUGUUGGGGCUGCAUACCAACGGGCGAUCCAGACACAUCUGCGCGGCCGAUAGACACACCUGCGUGGCCGAAUCGGCAGCAACACUGAUGCCUGGUUGGACUCGUUGUCCAUCAGGACCUUGGGGAGCUGGCAGCCGCCGAUGAUUGGGUCCACAACGAGGGUGGAUUUGCCGGGUUUGAGAUGUAAUCUGGGUGAUGUGUUCUCCCGAAGGAGAUUGUGCAAUGUAACUAGUGUAGGUACUGGAGGGUGUCAGGGACAACCUUGAGAGUUUGCUUCUAUGUGCGUUUGUACUUGUGGUCGUGGAAAAUCGGGGACUGCGCCGGCGACUCUGAAUUUAGGCAUAACCUCCACAAUCUCCAAAAACAGAAAGGGCACUUUAAACCGAUUUUGUUGAGGAUAUGAUGCAUCCGUCCAUUUUCAUAUCCUCUUGAUUUAUCAAAAAGAGAGAGCCACGAUGUGUUGUACCAUAAUGUUCACAAAGUUAGCUCGGUGGAGCGGGCGACGGUGGUGAUGGCAGCAGCUAGGGGGUUACGCACCGCAUGCCUUUACUAUAACGGGGAGACGAAGCGGAAGGACGAAGUUCAGUUUUUUGAGCGCUCAACAAAAGUGACCCCACCGUUACCCGUGGACAGUAGGGACACGUGGCAUGUUGUUUACCGAGUGCCACUUUAAUAGCUCUUGGCGAACACUAUGUAGGCCGAGUAUUUACCUUUUGUUGAGUUUUUUUAGAAAGGCUCUCGACAAAAGGCCGCCCUCAGCUGAGGGCCCACUCCGCAAAGGCGAGGUUUACCAACACCCCGUGAAUCGAAUUUAGGAGCUCGAAUAUCGAGGCUCACAAACUAGCAAAGCACGCUUUAUCUCUCGGGGUUGGCCGCCAUGUUUGGUUAGGCCAGCCCAACGAUCUUGGUUUUGUCCCUGUAAACAUUGUGACGACGUAAUAAAGCUUUGCAGUUUGUCUAAAAAAAAAAAACCAACACCCCGUGAAUGAGAACUCGACAAUGACAGUGUUACUCGGCAAACAACAAUUUUCCAGUAGUGAUACUAGAAUCCAACACGCACAGAAUGAUGCCUUGUGGCACUGCUGCCCCAUACCCAUUAAUUUGCAGCAAUUUUCAUGCUCAUCUCUCUCUCACGGUUGUUGGAUGAGCUCGCUAGGUGGUUGCGUAAUCGAAUAAACUAAUGAAACAUGUUUCUGCACUAUGAGCGAAGCACAGUUGCGAUUGAGAGAGAAUCCCUUAAAAUUAAAUUAAGGAGCAAAAUCAUAUAUGUGAGGGCAUGGCAACGAAAACUGACCAUGAAACUUAAUUAAUAUUAGAUUUGUAUAUAUAUAAAAAACAGAAAUAAAAUUGAGUAGAAAACUAAAGGUUCAAAAGUUAUUACACAGUGGCAGUCGUGAGAACACUUCUGACAGAGAAUGAAAAUUUCAGGGACUUUUUUGUAAUAAGUGCAGUGCAACUGAGGGCCAGGGCAGAAGCCCUCCAGGGACCUGCGCGCGAAAUCUCAAAAAAAUUUGGACCAUUUCUCGAUUUGUGCGUGUCAUCCUUGCGCAGGGGCCAUGCUGAUCUUCUCUGUAUCGUUCCAAUUUUAUCGGAUGUCCCCGAAGGGACGAGUCAGCUGCCGCGCUCACGCUUAUAAAACGGUCUGUCUCUCCUCCGCUGGCAGAUGUGGGACUAAACAAACUAGCCUCUGUUUUACUCCACGCGCUGUGAAGCCGGGAGACAUCGGACGCGGGGUGGGCCGCAAGCAGUAGGCUGGAUCUCCCUUGGUGUGGCCCAAAUUAACGGAAGAGCGUAAUGGGCCUUCGUGUUUUCUUAGGGAAGAAUGAGCCUGGUUUGUUUUUUAGAUUGAGCCUUGGUGUUAAGAGCUGACCUGAUAAUGCGUGUAUUAUUGUUCGUAGUUCAAACAUGUAGUACGAGAUGUACCUCUAAAAAUGAAACGAAAAUCUAUCUAUGAGCCCGUCCUGUCAGUCCAUGUGGUUUCUCCUAGAUACUCCCUCCGUUCCUAAAUAUAAGUCUUUUUAGCGAUUUUAAAAUGAACUACAUACGGAUGUAUAUAGACAUAGUUUAAAGUGUAGAUUCACUCAUUUUGCUCCGUAUGUAGUCCAUAUUGUGGAAUCUCCAAAAAGACUUAUAUUUAGGAACGGAGGGAGUAGAAACUAGUAGAAGGAAUGUAGUCAUGUGGCAUGGCUGACCUUGAUGAUGCUAUGAACUACUAACAUUAUUUUUUUUGCGUGACUAUGAACUACUAGCAUUUACAUCUCGUACUGUGUCAUGUGACAUGGCACCUUGAAGCCUUCUUCUUCUUUUAACCGCCGACCAAUAUUUUUUCCGGAUCAUGAAAUUUGACUUGUUAGCUUUUUCCUAAAAAAAAAUCGACUUCUUACUAUGUGAAUACGCAGUUCGGCUUAUUUCUAAAGAUAUCACUGUUUUUCUCGUGUAAAUAAAUGUAAAUAUCUGUGUUGAUGAUGAGCAUUGGAGGUUUUCUUUUGGUUGUUGGUGAAUUUAGAAUGUGGCUAGUCAGGUCUGCCCUUCCCCGGCACGGACGAAAACCUGGCGUAGGUGUCUCACUCUCUGGUUGUCACUGUUUCAUGGAUACACAAAAUUUAUGGAUCAUGAUCGAUUUUGGCUGCAGUUUUUUCUAUUUGUGAUGAUAAAUGCAUGGUACGUCUGAGGUUUUCAUUCUGAAGAGAAGAAGAGGCCUGCAGCCACGGGUCAGUCGCUCUCUUUUACUCUUUCUUUAUCUCUUUAUAAGCAAAUCAUUCUAGAGUGAAUUCGUGGCAAAUUGUCUGAUUUUCGCAGAGAUUUGUAUUUGUAAAUAAAAAGGGAAAUAAAACACGUAUGCAGUGACGCACGUACUGGAGGGGUAGAGCGGCAGUAUUUAUACGGUGUAUGUCUGGAGUUGUUUUGAAGCUAGAAAAACAGUCGGCUCUGUCUGUACACCUGUUAUUAUUACUGUAGCCAGUUUCAGUUAAGGUAGAAUGGCGUGGACGGCCGUGGCGGACGCGAACGCCGGGGGAUUCGGGGUCGGGGCCGCCGGAGUGGGGCAGGUCCUCGACGGCUCCAACCCGGCCAUCGUCCGGCUCCGGCAGCUCGUCGACGGGCCCCAGUCCUCAGGUGCUGCUGCUGGCACGCUCACUCGGCAUGCAAUCCACUGGCUGUAUAUCUGUUACUAUUAGAGACUGAUGAAAUAGUGGCGCAUGCAUGUGUUGCAGAGGGGUGGAGGCGGUGCUGGGAGCAGGGCGUGACGCCGUGGGACCUGGGCGAGCCCACGCCGGCCGUCGUCAAGCUGGUGCAGUCCGGCACCCUCCCCGCCGGCAACGUGCUCGUCCCGGGAUGCGGCGGGGUACGAUGCACAUGCUCUACUCAUGCUGAGAGAUGUACUGUAAAUGAGAUGGUUUGCACUGGCAAUCUCAUGCACGCACUUACGCGCUCUGGCGCUGCAGGGGUACGACGCGGUGGCCCUGUCCGGCGGCGGCCGCUCCGUGGUGGGUCUCGACGUCUGCGACGCCGUCAUCCAGAGGGCCAGGCAGCGCUCGUCGGACGUGGCCUUCGUCUGCGCCGACUUCUUCACCUGGUCACCACCGGAGCCGUUCCAUCUCAUCUUCGACUACACGUACCUCUACCGACCAUACACACUCUCCGACUACUAAACAAGAGUUAAUUAAUAGCUAUGCUUAUGCUCUCAUGAUUAAAUCAAACAAUUAAUAAUGUUUCAGAUUCUUCUGCGCCCUUGACCCGUCGCUGCGGCCAGCGUGGGCGGCGAGGAUGGAGGAGCUGCUGCGGCCGGACGGAGAGCUCAUCACCCUCAUGUACCUGGUAAUCACCCACUAAUCCUACCACUAAGAAGGGAGUAUAAUAUACAGUAUCAGUUGUAAAUAUCAAUCAACCUUCUAAUGAUCAUGCAUGUGUGCAUUUCAGCCUCAAGACCAGGACUCGGGGCCACCAUACAACACGACAGUGCACGAGUAAGCAUCACAUCCCUGCUAAUUUUCAAUUACUAGUAUAAUCCAUCACAGUGUUGAGAGAGACAGAAAUGCCAGUCCUUCAUUUCACUAUUGUCACGUGUGCAGCUACGAGGAGGUGCUGAACCCCCUGGGCUUCGUCAUCCAAUCCAUCGAGGACAAUGACGUGGCGGUCGAGCCACGCAAGGUAUAUAUAUGCCCAGUCAGAAACAAUUCUGGACAGAGUCUACUGUUAGUAUACGUAGCAACAAUUACAGGCUGUACAAAACAGUGUGUGUUAGCUUCAGCCAGUUUGUUCAAAACAUGUCCAGGUAACUUCAGGUGGCAAAUUUUGCUAAUCUAGUUAAUUGUUUUCAGGGGCUGGAGAAGAUAGCAAGGUGGAAGAAGACGGCAGCUGGAGCCGAAACGUCGACAUCAGACGUGCCCUCUGAUAAUCUCUAGUUUCCUUUAAAGAUUAAUUUUAAGGUUUUUUCUUUCCCUUAAAAGGUUACAGUGGAGAGGCAUGUCAUGACACAACACUUCUUAUUAUAGUUACUUAUAAGGUCAAUGUAUGGUUAUCAUGUUAAUGGCACAUUUUAAACAAUGUGUGUGUGUGUGUGUGUUUUCUCUUGAGUAAAGUAUCCUUCACCGAUCGUGAACCAUGUGGCUCAGCCAUGGGAUUUAUGGAUUGGUCUCGCACAUUUUGCUUGUUUGAGAUCAGGGCAACAAAUAUCCGAGUAAUGUUUUAGCAAAGUUGCUCUUCACACAAGUAGUGCACACAUCACGCAGAUGCUAACCUCACGAAACUGGGCUACUCGCACAUGUAAUCCGCAUCAUUAUUGGCGUUGUCUUCCGGAAGUAACCAAGUCAAAAAGCCAUCAAAAGUUUCUCUCUUGAGCCUCUGGGAUGAAUACUCAACAAUCAUGUGCCACAACUCGCCGACGGUCCAUCCGUGGCGUAAUACCCACUGGAUCACCUGUCACAGCAGAAUGAUGCAAAAAAUUAUAAGGCGAAGAGAACAUAAAAGGGGAAUCUGACAGCAUGUGAUUACAGCCGACUCAAUUCGGUGGAGAAAAGAAAAAGGAGGGUCCCUGCCUCCAUCUAGAACCAUCCAUCAUAUCUACUUUUAGGCUUUAGCGUGCAAAUAAGUUACUCCCUCCUUUCCGGUUUAUUAGGCUCAUCUUAGAAAUCACAUCAACUUCAAUCAUUGGUUGAUUUCACACUGAAAACCAAAAUCUAACAGAAUUUGAUGUAGGAUUGCUAUAUUUGCCUAUUCCCAACACAAUUCAGUGAGUGGCCGUGGAACCAUGAACAUGACUAGACAGGCAAAACUACUACAACUUCGAAACUCAGCUAAAUUUUAUUCGUUCUACUUCUGUGCAUAACUGCAUACGCAAAAAUAAAUGUGAAAAGGCUUUCAUAGUAUUGUGAUACCUCUUCUAGUCUUCUAAGUGACCCAUCCUCAAAAGUAUAGUAAUUAACAAAAGGUCGGUGUGCCUGCAAAAUAAGAAAGCCAAGUAUAUUUGAUUACUCCAACAAUGUUGAUAGUUGAAUUUAUCGGUAUAGACAUUUAACUGGGAACAGACAGAUGAACCCUAAUUGAAAAUUCCACUGCGUGAUGUAACAUCUUUCCUGUACCUGUGAUGCAGCAAGCCACUGAAUCAUGCUCUUAAUUUCAGGGUUUCCACCAAAAGCCCCACAACCCCAGUUUCCGGUUGAAACUCCUAUACAGUCAACUGAGUUGACACUUGGAUGAUUAUCCUUGGAAUUAGAAUCCUGGAACCAUGUGUUAAAAGUUAAAAAAAAUGAUCAAAAGUGAACAUAUAGACACCACCUUCUAAUGGCGUGCAUGUAUUUUAGGUCACUACUUAUCAUGUUAGACCUCAUUUGAAAUUAUAUACAUGUGCAGCAGAAGUUCAUUCCGACAGUUUAUUACUUUAUUGGUCGACGGACAUAAAAUAAAUGAUAGGGGCAAAUACAUGCUAUCAAGUCAUUUUCUGAACCUUAGCAGAGAUGGAGAUGUUAGACGAUGUUUGCCACUUGUGUUUGAAAUUAGGUAAUUCAUAGGAGGAUUCAAUUAACAGCAACUUCAGGACUCGUUAGGUAAACACCUGGAAAGGCUUCACAUCGAACUGAUGCUUUGAUUGAUCCAAAAAACCAACAAAUGCUUUGUUCACUUCCCUGCAGAGAUGUAGUACCGAUGAAAACGAAUUAGGAAAACAAAUACAACUAUACAACUAUAUUUCGUUUACGAACGAUAGCGACCACAACAAGCUACCAAUAAAUUAUGAAAUACUGUCAUACAUUGAAGUGAAACAAGAACAAGACAUACCUUAAAAGACCACUAGUUUCAUACUGUAACUUAGUUGGACAGUCCAAGGCAUCAAUUGCUACAAUCCUAGUUUUUCGUCGACCCAUUGCAUCAAGGGGCUUCGUAUCUAAAUAAUCACCGACAAAGCGGAAUGAGGAGCCGUACCUGUAAGAAGCAAAUGAAGUGUCCAUUUACAAUGUAAAAAUCAUCCAGUAUUGUGGAAAUGCCAUAGCUAAUUAGUAUUGCCGGACUUUUUCUUUUCAUUUAUGAACUAAAUCAAGCGAAGGGUGGAAAGAUUUAAACUAACCCCAUAUACUGUGAGAACCUUUCCGCACCGACAAUUUCUAUAGCCUCAUUAUCUUCCAUUGAGGCCAUGAAGAGCAUGCCUACAAUCAGUUCUGGGUUUAUCAUGAAACGGAUCUCUUCCUGUACCAUAGAAGAAAUAUAUCAUCUAUAAGAGAACCAUAAAAACCUUGCAUCAUUGUAAAUUAUCUUAACUAAUCAACUUGCACAACAUCAAGAUGUGCUAUCCAGCAGAAUGAUGACAUAGCAUGAAGGUACUUCAAUUCACAUCAGACACCCAUGAAGUCAAAACUGGUCUUAAGAUAGUGACUGGCUCAACAAUAAUUUUCCAUGUAGCAUAGAAGAUGAUGGAUAAGUGACAUACAAUUCAUACAAAACGAAUGUAGGAAUAUAUUCUAAAACUAGUGCUAAACAAAUAACGCCUCAUAAUUAAUGCAAUCCAUGGAACAUUGACGAGGUAAUCUACUAAUCAGGAAAAAGAGACCUGCACACAGCCCCUGGAAAGUGCACCUCCUCCCAGAUAUUUAUUAGCAAAGUCAACCUCGAGGGCUUCUUCUUCCUCAUCUUCGAUCAAACCCGAGGAAAUUACCUACUAAUGAAAAGAAAACAAACAAUCAGCAGACUCCAUAAUAAUUGUAAAGACCAUGAGGCAUUUUGAUAACAUUAUGAUAAAAGAUAACCCUAGCUGUUCCUAAUAUGUACUCCAGUGUCACAGAGUUAUCUAUUCCAGCCUUAUUUCCAUUAUCAUGCCAUACCAGGAUAUAGAUAAUUUAUCAUCCUGCAUAGCAUCAUCCAAAUGUUGAGGACACAUGAUGGAGAACAAACAGAUAACAUAAAAAAAGACCCAAGACAUUUACUUUUCCACUGUGUCCAAAGCAUGCCUGCCGGGUGAUGCUAAUUUGCAAACAAACGGUUAUUCUAAAUAGACCUUCAUAGAACGACAACAAAAUUCAAUAAAAUAGUCGUGGCAAAUUUGCUCAGCACUCCUAAGAUCUCAUUACAGGAAACUACUCACAUCUAAUUGAAUACACCUUCACCCUUAUGGUUUAGCUUUAAUAUUUUCUUGACACUUGAAGAAAAAACCACAGGCAUGGUACUACGAGCAAGUUGAACUUCAUGUAACAUACACCAGUUGCCUGUUUCGGGUUUCCAAAUACCAAAAUGACCCCACAUGUCUGAGAUGGGAAAAUGUUGUCUCCGAGGAUGCCUAGGACAAUGGUUAUAGGCCAAAAUAUGACUGGAAAUGUGAAAUAUGAAGACAAGUAGCUGUUCUGUGUUGUUACAAGACCGGAUUGUCGUCUUGAUAUUGCUUGAGCAGCUAAAUCUCAGCUACCUGGUUGUUAAUAGAUACCAAUUAAUCAACUUCACGCAAGCUAUGUCACAUCAUGUAAAGAGGAAUAUGGUCUGAAACAAUGCUGGCUACAAGUUCAGCUUUGAUUUAACCAACGCAGGUGAACCCAAAUAACUUGCACACUAUAUAAUUUCAGAGGAGCCCUGCAGAAGGACUAAAAUGGAGCAUAUGAAGCCACUUACCCGGAAUGGGCAUAGGGGCACGCUAGAUUUCAUCCAGGCAUCACUGUCAGGGUAGGUAACACCACCGGAGAGGGAGCCGCGCGGAAGAACCUUGCGCUCAAACGACACAAAACCGGCAGGCGUAGACGCAGUCACCCUCUCGAAAUAGUGAGCAAUGCACCUCACUUUGUGCUCCUGGCUCUGCCUCGCAUUGUUAGUCAGUGCCCUGCCAAACCAUAGAAGCAUAGGAGAUCAAAAAUAAGAACAGCUAGUCAAUUUGACACUACAAGGUUUAAUUAAACCCUAGGACACCCAAAUGAGCCGAAAUUGAUGGCAUACGAGAACAAGGCGUCGAAAUUGAUGGCCGGGAGGCGGGCCUCGCCGCGGCCGGCGGUGGGGAACAGGCAGAAGAGCGCGCAGGCGAGCAGCGCGGCGGCGAGCUCCUGGCCGAGGAGCACGAAGCCCGCGUCCUGAGACCCCAGGAGGCGGAGCCCGGUCGCGGCCCGGGCGCCGGCGUAGUGGCCCUCGAGCAGCGCGGGGAGGCGGAGGAGGAGGCGCGCGAGGCGCGGGAGCACGUCGGAGAACCAGUCCCGCGCGUGGGCCCGCGAGAGGAGGUCGUCGAAGAAGAGCGCGUAGCCCUCGGCGGCGCGCGCGGGGAGCGCCCGGAGGGCCAGGGCCUGGCGGAGGUCGCUGAGCGCGUCGGCGAGGACGUCGCCGGAUGUGACCCGGCUCACGUCGGGGCCGAGGGACAGCGCCCUCAGCUGCUCCUGCGCCGCCGCAGGCCAGAACAGCGCCCCGCCGCGCAGCACCACCGGGAGCUGCGGCAGGAUCGAUCGCAGGUCGCCGCGCGCCUCCAUCUCCAUUGCUGCUCUCUCUCUCUCUCUCUCUCUAGCUUCGUUUGCGUCGUCGUUGGGCCUCAAUGUGUAUUCUUUUGUUGGGCCAAACACGGGCUCGUGUCGGCCCAUGUAAGCAGCUCGGCCCAGUCGAGACACUGGACCGAAGCUUAUCCAUCCAUUUCCAGCUCGUUGGUUCCUCUGCGGCUCGAAGCUCUCUUUGCCAUGGGAGUGGAGACGGUCGAGCAAUGGCCGCCAAGCUCCUGCCGGCGACAGCAAGCCCGCCGCCGCGCCGCGGCCUCCGGCGCGAGACGGCGGAGGUGGUGCGCGACUGCAAGAGACUGGACGGGCUCAUGAAGGCCGGCAGGGUGGCGGACGCCCUGGACUUGUUCGACCGGAUGCCGCGCAAGAACGUCGUGGCGUGGACCUCGGCCGUGUCCGGGCUGGCACGCAACGGCCGCCCGGAGGCCGCGGUUGAGAUGUUCGCGGGCAUGGUGGAGUCCGGCGUCGCGCCGAACGACUUCGCCUGCAACGCGGCGCUGGCGGCGUGCGCGGCCGCGGGCCCGGGCGCGCUCCUCGCCGGGGAGCAGCUGCACUCGCUCGCCGUGCGUGCGGGGCUCGCCGGGGACGCGUGGGUCGGGAGCUGCCUGGUCGAGCUCUACGCACGGUGCGGCUCCACGCGCGCGGCCGAGGCCGUGCUGGCCCGGAUGGAGUCGCCGGACGUCGUGGCGUACACCUCGCUCGUCUCGGCGCUCUGCCGGGGCGGCGAGUUCGGGAUGGCGGUGGAGGCGCUCGGCAAGAUGGUGGUGCGGGGAGUGGAGCCGAACGAGCACACGGUGACGAGCAUCCUGGCGGCGGCGUGCUGCCCGCUGGUUCUCGGCCUGCAGAUACAUGGCUACAUGAUCAAGGCGAUGGGCUCGUCACAGAGCGUCUACGCGUCGAGCGCGCUGAUCGAUCUCUACUCAAGAAAUGGCGAGCUCGACAUGGCGAAGACGGUGUUCGACAACCUCCAGUGCAAGAACGUGGUCACCUGGUGCACCAUGAUGCAGCUGCACAUCAGAGAUAGAAGGCCGGAGGAUACACUGCAGCUGUUCGACGAAAUGAUCUCGGAGGGCCUUGUCGAUCCCAACGAGUUUGCAUUCUCAAUUGUCCUUGGUGCCUGUGAGUCCAUCGCUCUGGGGAGUCAGCUUCACUCCUCAGCCGUCAAGCGUGGCCUGGCAAGCGAUCUCCGGGUGUCGAAUGCCCUGCUCUCCAUGUACGGCAGGAGCGGCCUCGUCCAAGAACUCGAGACCAUGUUCCGUGGCAUCGAGGAUCCAGACAUUGUCAGCUGGACAGCAGCAAUCUCUGCAUACUUCCAGAACGGCCAUGGUGAGAAGGCCAUAGCACUGCUCUCCCAGAUGCACUCACAAGGUCUCACGCCAAACGACUAUGCCUUCUCCAGCGUGCUAAGCUCCUGCGCAGACCUGGCAUUGCUGGACCAAGGGAGGCAGUUCCAUUGCCUGGCCCUGAAGCUAGGAUGCGACAUGAAGACCUGCACCGGGAAUGCGCUGAUCAACAUGUACUCCAAGUGUGGCCAGAUCAUGCCCGCGAGGCUCAUGUUCAACGUCAUGGAUCACCGUGAUGUAACGUCCUGGAACUCGCUGAUCCACGGGUACGCGCAGCAUGGUGAGGUGGACAGGGCGUUGAAGGCGUUCAGCGAGAUGUGUUCCAAUGGCGGUGAGCCCAAUGAGUCGACGCUCUUGGGAAUCCUAGCAGCUUGCAACCACGCCGGGCUGGUGGACGAAGGUGUGGCAUUCUUCAGAUCAGCAAUGGCCGGCCGGUAUGGCGCCUUCCUGACACCCUCACACUAUGCCUGCGUGGUCGACAUGCUGGGCCGUAGUGGCAGGUUCGACGACGCGCUCUGCCUGAUCGAGGAGAUGCCUUUUGAGCCCGGCGUCCUAGUGUGGAAGACGCUGCUGGCGUCAUGCAGGCUGCACGGCAACCUGGAGACGGGGAGGCUCGCCGCCGAAAAGCUCGUGGAGCUCUCAGACCAGGACUCGGCAAGCUACGUGCUGAUGUCUGGCAUACAUGCGAUGCACGGGGAGUGGCGUGACGCCGACAUGGUGCGGCAGGGGAUGGACGAGGCUGGGGUGAGAAAGGAGGCCGGGCGCAGCUGGGUGGAGGUCAGGAACGAGGUGCACGCCUUCGUAGCCCAAGACGCGUCUCACCCAGACUCGUCGUCCAUCUACCGGAUGCUCUGGGAAUUGUCUGAUGCCAUGCGAGAUACAGCCUAUGACGAAGAUGUUGAAUUGUUGGAUGUACAUAUGCAGAUUUAGAUGUGAAAAAAUUAGUGAAUAUCCUACUAGGUUCGUCCAGUUCUGUCAAGGUAACUGAGUCUUUGUUCCUUUCCUAUUGCCACUUUCAUUACACUGUUCUUUGUAGCUACUGGUAUAAGCUUACAAAUAUGUUAGUGAUAGGUGCUGUAUGCUAUGUAGGAUAGCAAUAUCAAAUUAUCAAUAGCAUAUUGUUUUCAGUCUGUAACAAUUAAAAUGUGCUGCAGAAAGUUGAUUAAAACACCUUUCAGUGUGACAUCGACGAUUGCUAUGCUUUAGUUUUAUUUACUUACCCUAUUUGGCAUUAGACUCACUAGUAAACUGGGUUUAUAACUUCCAAGGAACCAUCCUGUAUUUUGAUAUUCUUAGACUGUAUGCAGGUGUGGCUGUAGCAUGCCUUCUCAAGUACUCCAGGUGUGGCACUACACUAACUAAUCACAUGAACAGAACAGACACUUCGCUACGAGUUACACUGACAGUUUGGACUGUGACUUAAAAGAUUGCCUCGGAACGUCAACCAAAUGAGCUAAUUUCUCUAGAUAGCUGAAGUGAAUGAGGGAAGAAGCUUGUCUUCUCCGAGGAGAGAAUUUUCUUUACAAGUUCUCAAGAAGAUUGGUGAUACAUAUGAUGGAUUUGUCAGUUCAGUGUUCCACUAUGGUGCAUUGGUUCACCUGUGAUUUCCUGAUGGCACUGGCCAUACCUUUGGUCAUUUUUGUUGUAAAUAUUCCAGAGUUUGACAUUAAAAAUGCCUAAACACGAAGUUACUGAUCUUGUACAUACCUCUGAGCAGUGGCGGAGCUAGCAGAAAAUCGCUGGGGGCGAAACACAAAUCAUCAGNNNNNNNNNNNNNNNNNNNNNNNNNNNNNNNNNNNNNNNNNNNNNNNNNNNNNNNNNNNNNNNNNNNNNNNNNNNNNNNNNNNNNNNNNNNNNNNNNNNNNNNNNNNNNNNNNNNNNNNNNNNNNNNNNNNNNNNNNNNNNNNNNNNNNNNNNNNNNNNNNNNNNNNNNNNNNNNNNNNNNNNNNNNNNNNNNNNNNNNNNNNNNNNNNNNNNNNNNNNNNNNNNNNNNNNNNNNNNNNNNNNNNNNNNNNNNNNNNNNNNNNNNNNNNNNNNNNNNNNNNNNNNNNNNNNNNNNNNNNNNNNNNNNNNNNNNNNNNNNNNNNNNNNNNNNNNNNNNNNNNNNNNNNNNNNNNNNNNNNNNNNNNNNNNNAGCUCCGCCACUGCCUCUGACGUAUCUUGCUAUCUUGUCCAAGAUUUUGUAAAUGAAGGUGAUAUCAUCAAGAUCAUAUUGAUACGUAAGUAUCUUCUACUACAUAUUUCUGAAGUCUCUUGGUAUCUAGGUGAUCAAAUUUUGAAUUUUUGGUGCAGAACAUUUUGUAGAUUCUACCAACGAGAAGUAGUAUAUGCAAUUUCAAGUGCACACCUAGUUUGUCGGGCCUGAAAGUAUGAGCGUCCUCACCCCAAACGCCCGGGUCCCGCCCGAUGGCCCAGGCGUUCACCAUGACAGGCAUUGCUGCUGGGAUCUGGUACCCGUCGAGGAGCCGCACCCUGUCCAUGGACAGGUGCGGCCCGAGCAGGGGCGCUGGAGUAUGGAGAAGAUGGAGUGCGGUACACGGCUCCCGUGCGACACGCGACUUCCGUGCGACACGCGAUCUCCGUGCGACAUGCGACUCCGAUGCGACUUCGUACCAUCUCGGUACGGCGCUGCUGAUUUUCCGGUCGGGUUCGAUUCGCUGGUGAGUGCGGCGUUUGGAGCACGUCGACGCGGAUGGGGUGGUGGUGGAUGCACGGAGCUGGCGCGACGACGCAGGGUUCCAGGUGGGCCAGAUGGUGGUCUUCCCUUGCCAUCUGGCGCGGCUCGCGGCGGCUGACCGGUGGGGCGACUCCGGGGCGGUUACCGAGGUGAGUAAUGGCGAGAGGGGGGAGGGAGAGAGGUUAUUAGGCCGACGCAUCGGCUCUCCACCACUUCCUCCCUCACAGUUCCUAUCCAAAAAAACCACCGCGACUCGCCGCUCCAAGGGUUAGGGUUUGAUGACGACGCGCGAGCAGCAGAUGUGGGCGCUGUCCGCCGGCGACAAGGUGCUGAUGGGGAGAUUGAAGGAGAUAGAUCGAUGGUUUCCAACGGCGAAGGCACUCAACGAUGCAUCAGGGAUGGUGAGAGACAAGCUGAGGGGGGAGGAAAUCCUCAGGUGCUUCCCCAACCACGACCGCCAGCCGGCGAUGGGGGUGCUUCUCUGGGCGAUGCUCAAGGCGGAGUCUCUGAUUCCGAAGCAGAGGAAGAAGUGGAAGGUGUUCCGCUCUCUUCGCUACCGCCAAAUCCAGCCGCAGGCGCCGCCGCAGGAGGUGGUGGUGGGGAUCCCGGCUCCGGGAUCCAGGUGGCUCCCGAUCGAGAUCGAGGAAGACGAGGUGGUGGCUGUGCCACCAAGGCGCAGGGCCAGGGCGCCAGCGACCCCGACCACACUUCCUCGCCGCUCACCCCGCUUCCCGAGGCGCUCGCCGGCCGGCAAUCGUUUUUGGUUGCUGGACGGUGAGGGCUCCGAGGAGGAGGGGGAGGAGGAGUCCCCUGACUACUCUGCAGGUAUGGACAAAAUCUCCAAAUACUUGAUAUCUACUACUUCAAUUGAGGUAGAUGAUGCUAGAAAUGGGGGGAAAAGGGUAAAAAGGGAUCUCGUGAUGUUAGUAGGAACAAAAAAGGGUCUCAAUCCCAAAUUGCAGACGACUGCGAUGGAGCUUACUAUGAUGGUAAUAGUUUGGGAAGUAAGAGAAAUGAGAAGGAGAAAAGGGAAGUCAAAUUAGGGGAUAAUUUUAAAAAAAAUGGGUUUAGAUGCUCAUAUUGUGCAUAAUCAUAUGAAAAAGGACAAAAUACAUCCUAUUAUGUCCUGGUAUGAUGAGGAUGGAAUUGGAUUUAGAUAUGCAGAGAACUCCCAUUGGGGCAUAUUUGGCUCCAAAAGAGGAAGAAAUGGAAAGAAAUAAAGAUGAGGGGCUUUUGAGACCCCUGAUUAUUUUUGGGGGCUCAGUGGGGCAAGAUUUGAAUAUAGAUGUAGGAGUGGGCCUUGCUUGGUGGAGGCCUAGUGGGCUUGAUAGCAGCCCAGCCCAUAAAGUGGAUCCGGGGCUGGUAGGUAUAAAGGUGGGAGAGAAGGGGAAAGGGAAGCAAUCCCACCACAUAGGGUUUCCCCCUCCUCCUCUCACACCGCCGCCAGCAGGCAGAAUGGCUGGAAACUUUGGGAGAGGUUAUGGAGGUCCCAGAUUCAAUCGAGGAGGUGAGAGUGGGUAUCCUGGGGGAGAUUCAACUAUGCUGGUAGAGGAGGGGGAUGGAAUGGAGGUAGAUAUACUUCAACAGAGAGAGCUGGUGGUUUUGGAAGAGGUGGUGGCACAUCUGGUGCAGGAAAUGGAGUUGGCAGAGGAUAUGGAGAUGAAGAAGAAUUUGCUGCCGAAGGAAAUGGAGAAAAUCUGGUGUGGCAAGCUAAAACUGGGAAGAAAGAGGUAGUGGAAGACAAUAUUAAAAGAGCUAAUGGUGAGGGGGGGAUUCUGGAGCAGAGAGGGGAAAAGAGAAGGAACAGUUGAUUCAGAAAGAUCAAAAUACACAGCAACAGUUGCUAGCUUCUCUGCUCUCUCAAUUAGUGCAAGGAUUAAAGGGGAGUGAGAAGGAGCAAAUUGAAGGAAUGUUAGGAAAACCUCUGGGUAUUCAGACUGGAAGAGAUGUUCAAAGGAAAGAGGAAAAUAAUGGAGAAUCUAUGCAAAGAGCUGAUAAAAGAUUUGAACAAGACCCAAUGAUGGAGAUGAAGAAACAGGGGGGCGGAGGCAAUUGGCAGUUGAACUUGGAAGAUAAUAAGAAAGGGAUGGACAGAUUCAACAAGCAAGUUUGUGGUAAAUACAAAGAUGCUAGACACUCUACCAGAGAAUGCAGGGUAGGACACUGUUUGAUUUGUGGAAGGGAUAAUCAUAUCACCAGUGAGUGCAACUUGCUGAAACAGAUGAAGCCAGUGCCAAAAUAUGUUGGAUAUGCUGCUAAGGGGCUGGGAAUCUUGUUGGUCCAGAGCUAUAAAGAUGUGCUAGUAGCUGAACACACAAACCCUCUGGGUGUGGUGAUUGUUAGAGAAGGGCAGAUCAAUGAAACUAAACUAACCAAGACCCUGGGAGAGAUGUUUGAUUGGGGAUGGCAAUGGAGAGUUAAAGAAUUUGGGGAAAAUGGCUUUAUGAUGAGAUUCCCCAAUAAGGCAAAACUGAUAGAAUUGGCAAAAUUCAAUGAUUUUAAUUUGCUGGGGACAGGGGUGGUGAUCAAAGUUCAACCCUGGUCCCUGGAUCAUCAGGCAGUGGGAAAAAUGCACACAGCUUGGAUUAAAUUGAAUAAGGUGCCCGACUGUUUCAGACACUUCUUGGGCAUUUGUGAGGUUGCUGCUGCAGUGGGGCCUGUGCUAGAAGUGGAUAUGGAUACAAUAAAUGAGGAGAAAAUGAGGGUCAAAUGUGGGAUCAGAGAUGUGGAAAGAAUUCCACCCCAAGUGGAAAUCACUGCCCCUGAUUUGCUCAUGUUCAGGAUUGGUACAGAGGUUAAUUGGCUGGUAUAAAGAAGAAAAGAGGAAAAAUGAAAAUAUAUGCAACCUAGAGGAUGGAGAUGGUGAAACAGAAAACAGAAAGAGAACAAAGAUGGAAGAUACAGAACACAAAGGCAUUGCACUGGGAUGCUUAUCUCUUAAGCAAAGUGAGGAGAUAGAUGGGAAAAUUGAAAAAAUGAGAUCACAAGUGGAAGAGAGCAUGAUGCAAUAGCAAACUGAGAUGAACACAGAGAGAAGGAAGUGGCAAAAAGAAAGUGACAUUAUGUUUAGUAAGAUUAAAUCUCUGGAAGAGGACAAAGUCAGACACAGUGCAUUGUGGGCUAAGGCUGAAAAAAGAAUCAAGGAGCUUGAGAGUAAUCAACAAAAUAUGCAGGACAUGAUGAGACAGCAACAAAAAGAGAUCCAGAAACUAAUUCAAGAGGCUGCUAAUAGAGAACAGUAUGAAAUGGGGUUAGCUAAUAUGGAUUUGGAGGAUUAUGAAAAGGAAAAUCAACAGAGAAAGGAUGAAACUGAUCUGGGAAAUACAAUGAACCUACUGACUAUAAUGCCAGUCAAGAAUCAAUAGGGACCCUGGGUGAAAAAAUGGCUGACAUACAUGGAGCUGAGGUCCUGGAAAAAGAUGGGGAGGAGAGAGAAGUGGAAACUAAAAGAAGUCUCAGGAACAAAGGAAAAGAAGAUCAGAAAAUAGAGGAGAUGGCAAAAAUCAGAGCUGAAGAAAGAGACAAUUAUGGUAAGAAUCUUGAUUCUGAAUUUACAAACUCUUCUUUAUUACAAAUUAGUUCUGUGGUGGGGAUUGAUUUAGGAUGUUCCAUUGAUAUGAUUGAUAGAAACCUAGAUAUUAUCAAUAAAAUGGAGAUGGCUAGGAGGGAUAUAUAUUUCCAAAACAUUAAAAGAGAAAAAAAUGAUGGGGAGAGGGAGACAAAAGAGAUAGAGAAAGAAAAGAAGGACACACCAGUAUACAUUAAUAUUGGGGAUGUGGAUAUCGAUGGAUUAUGCUCUGAUUUGGAUCAUUCUGAUGCUGAGAUUGAGGAACAGCAAUACAAGAAUCUGAGAGAGAUGUUCUCAGGGAAGAAAAGUGGUAAAAAAAGCUCACCAGCCUUAGACUGUGUGAAGCAAACAAUUGGGAUUGGGGCACUAAGGAGGAGAAUAAAAGGGAAGAAGACUAAUUAGUCUCUAACCUGGAAAGCAAUAUAAGAUUGACUGGGAUAUUUGGGAGAAUCUUAUAUAAAUAAAAAUACUUCAAAAAUGAGAGGAGUUUUCUAGAAUGUUAGAGGCAUAGGACAGCAUCAUAAAAAAAGAUAUAUUAGGGAAAUGAUCAUAGAUCAGAGGUUAUAUUUUAUUGGGAUCUCUGAAACAAUAAAACAAGACUUUACCAAGAAUGAGCUGCACAAUCUAUGUGGAGGUAAAAAUUACCAAUGGUGUUGGAAUCUCCCUAGAGGGAUGUCUGGUGGGAUUCUAGUUGGCAUUAAUAAAGAUAUGUUUGAUGUUGAGUGUAUUGAAAAAGGACAAUAUUUUUUGAGAGUGCUAGUAUUUGAUAAGAAUAUCAAAAUGCAUUGGAAUCUGAUCACUGUAUAUGGAGAUGCACAAAGAUAAGGGAAAGCCAGCUUCCUAGCUGAGCUUGCCAGAUUAUAUCAUGAUAACCCUCUGCCAUGUUUGGUUGGAGGUGACUUUAAUAUCAUUAGAAAUGACAAGGAAAAGAACAAACCUAUGAUAAAUGAACAGUGGUCCUUUAUGUUUAAUGCUAUAAUUGAACAAGCUGGAUUGAGAGAGCUACCUUUAAAUGGGAGACAAUACACCUGGGCAAAUAACCAGGAGGACCCCACAUAUGAGAAGUUGGACAGGGUAUUAAUGUGCCUAGCCUGGGAAGAGAAAUAUCCAUUAACUAUUUUGCAAGCCUUUGCUAGGGAAAUUUCUGAUCACACCCCUUUGUUCCUAGACACGGGGGAGACACAAAAUCACAAAUACACAUUCAGAUAUGAGAAUGCAUGGAUUUUGAGAGAUGGAUUCAAAGAGUUAGUAUCUAAAACAUGGAAUGAAAGAUAUAUGGGAAAUGUUUUGGAGAGAUGGCAACUUAGAAUGAGAAAUUUAAGGAAAAAAGCUAAAGGUUGGAAUAAGAACAUGGAUGCCUGGUAUAAAAAAAUCAAGAUUGAAAUUAUUAAAAAGUAGGAUGAAUUAGAGAAGAGAGCUGAGAUAAUGGGUUUAACUGCUGCAGACAGAACUGAGCAGAAAGAGCAUAGAGCUCAACUAAAAAGAGUUAUGACACAAGAGGAAAUGAAGUGGAUACAGAGAUAUAAAGACAAAGAGAUUAAAGAUGGAGAUGGAAAUACUAGAUACUUUCAUGCAAAAGUAAAUGGGAAGAUAAGGAAGAACAGAAUUAUCUCUUUGGAGCAAGAUGAAGGGAUCAUAGAAGGAGAUCACAGACUGAUGGAGUAUAUAACUAAAUUCUAUAAGGAAUUAUUUGGACACCCUGAAGAGUCUAAUAUAUCUCUGAGGGUAGUGGAAAUGAAAAAGAUCAGUUCACAAGACAAAUAGGAGCUAUUGGCCCCUUUCUCCCUAAAUGAAAUCCAUCAGGUAGUUUUUGGGAUGAAAAGAAACAAAAGCCCGGUACCAGACAGGUUCCCUGCUGACUUUUAUCAAUAUUUCUGGGAUCUGGUCAAGUGGGAUCUGAAAGCUCUGGUUGAUGGUUUUGCCAAGGGUGAAAUUAAUAUUGCCAGGCUUAAUUAUGGCAUCAUUACUCUUGUCCCUAAAACCAAUGAUGCCAAGCAAAUUCAAAAAUUUAGACCAAUAUGUCUUCUGAAUGUUAGCUUUAAGAUCAUUACUAAAGUGCUAAUGAAUAGGUUGACUAAUUAAGUGUGUGUCACCUGUGAUCUCUAGAACCCAAACUGCAUUUAUUAAGGGAAGGUAUAUCAUGGAAGGGGUGGUUAUUUUACAUGAAGCUCUGAACACGUUCUAUAAAGACAAAGAAGAUGCUAUGAUCUUCAAAGUUGAUUUUGAGAAGGCAUAUGAUAAAAUUAAAUGGCCCUUUGUAAUACAAAUGCUAGAGUUAAAAGGCUUUCCAGAAAAGUGGUGUGAUUGGGUUAUGGAGACCAUGAGGGGGGACAUGUAGGAGUUAGAGUAAAUGAUGAAAUUGGUCCAUACUUUAAAACUUUCAAAGGUUUAAGACAAGGUGAUGCUAUGUCACCAUUUCUUUUUGAUCUGGCUGCUGAUGCUUUAGCCAUUCUAAUGAACAAUGCCCUGGAACAUGAUAUAGUCAAGGGUGUAUUAAAAUAAGGAAAUAGCAAAGGGGUAAAUAUGUUACAGUAUGCUGAUGACACUAUUUUUCUGAUCAAGGAUGAAGUGGAAAGUGUGAGAAAACUCAAAUUCAUAUUGGGCAUUUGAACAAAUGUCAGGUCUUAAAAUAAAUUUUCAUAAAAGUGAAUUGAUGCUAUUUGGGAAGGCUAAAGAAAAACAAUUGCUAUAUCAGGAAAUACUGACAUGUAAGAUGGGGGAAUUACCUAUCAGGUAUUGGGGGAUGCCUGUGUCAAAGACUAGAAUUAGGAACAUACAUUGGAGCUGUGUAACAAAUAAGAUUGAAAGAAGGUGUAGUUGUUGGCAAGGGAAACUGCUAGGAUCUAUUGCUGGCAGGAUCACUCUGGUGCAAGCUUGCCUGACUAACAUACCUCUGUUUAUGAUGUCCUUUUAUGCUGUCCCAAAAGGGAUUAUAAAAAAACAGACUUUUUUAGAGCUAGGUUGGUGUGGCAGGAAGAUGAGAACAUCAAAAAAUAUCAUUUAGUUAAAUGGAAGGAAUGCUGUCUGCCAAAAGAGGUGGGGGGGAUUAGGGAUUCUCAAUCUGGAGGUGAUGAACAUUGCACUUCUAGCUAAAUGGUUUUGGAAAAUGGAGACAGAAGAGAGUCUCUAGCAAGACAUUUUGAAAGAGAAAUAUAGGAAAGAUGACUGCUUAGCACUAGUAGAUAAGAAACCUGGAGAUUCCCAGUUUUGGACUAGUCUUUUAAAAAUUAAAGAGAUUUUCUAUAAAUUUGUCAAGAAAGAAUUGGGAGAUGGGAAAAACACCAGAUUUUGGGAGGAUACUUGGGUAGAUGAUAAACCUUUAAAGGAGGCUUAUCCCAUAAUUUAUGACAUUUGCUUUGACCACAAUAUAACUGUAGAUGAGGCCAUUCAAAAAGGGUGGCAGGGGUUCAAAUUUAGAAGAACUUUAUAUGGAGAAACUCUGGAACCGUGGAAUAGUUUAAAAAGUAGAUGUGAAGAAAUAAGUCUGAAGGGGGCGGGGGGGAGAUAGAAUUAUCUAGACUCUCACUGCUGAUCAUAAGUUUUCGGUGGGGUCUCUAUAUAAGAAAAUAAUUACACUUGGGCUGAAUUUCCACAAAAAUACCUUUGGAAAAUUAAGAUACCUGCAAAAAUAAAAGUCUUUUUGUGGCUAGUUAAUAAAAAGAGCAUUCUGACCAGAGGUGUCUUGCUCAAAAAAGGAUGGAAAGGAGGGAAAAGUUGUGUUUUCUGUGGGAAAGAUGAAUCAAUUGAUCAUCUGCUGUUUACUUGCUCUGCGGCAUCUCUGUUAUGGAGUUUGGUCAGAUGUAUUUNNNNNNNNNNNNNNNNNNNNNNNNNNNNNNNNNNNNNNNNNNNNNNNNNNNNNNNNNNNNNNNNNNNNNNNNNNNNNNNNNNNNNNNNNNNNNNNNNNNNNNNNNNNNNNNNNNNNNNNNNNNNNNNNNNNNNNNNNNNNNNNNNNNNNNNNNNNNNNNNNNNNNNNNNNNNNNNNNNNNNNNNNNNNNNNNNNNNNNNNNNNNNNNNNNNNNNNNNNNNNNNNNNNNNNNNNNNNNNNNNNNNNNNNNNNNNNNNNNNNNNNNNNNNNNNNNNNNNNNNNNNNNNNNNNNNNNNNNNNNNNNNNNNNNNNNNNNNNNNNNNNNNNNNNNNNNNNNNNNNNNNNNNNNNNNNNNNNNNNNNNNNNNNNNNNNNNNNNNNNNNNNNNNNNNNNNAAGACAAGAAAAUGGUGAUGGUAGGGAUUUCUGCCUUAUUUUGAGCGAUCUGAAAAAGUAGGAAUGCAAUCAUAUUUGAAAAGAAAAGGAUAAAUGAUCCUUUCUAUAUAAUCAAACUAAUGAGCCAGUGGUUGAUUGACUGGUCCAUCUUGCAGACAAAGGAGCCGCCAAGAAAAAUGUUGGAGCUGGGAGCAAGAGUGCUAGAACGGGCAGCAAGUGAGAGGUACACUGCUGGGCAAGGCUGGCGGAUCAACGUGGCGAGGCUCCUAUGAUGAUGUCCUGCUGUUGUGACCUCUUCGCGCUGCUGCUGCUGUUCUUAGUCCUUUUGCUUCUAUCAGUUCCUGUCUCAUGUGAUGAUAACCUUGCUAUGUUAUACCCCAGUCUGUUGGGGUCUGGAGUCUAUCGGCCUGUGUUGGCCUUUUGCUGGGUUUCUGGUGAUUAGAGUCGGUUGGUAGUUUCUUAGGUUUGUUAAAUGCUGGUUACUCUGUUACUCUGGUUUGGUUUUCAGUAAUGAAAAUCGGAAGGGGCGAGCCCUUCUUUGAUAAAAAAAAUGCUGUGGCAUUUAUACAACAUGCGGAGCUUUCAAGCAUUAGAUGAAUAAAAUCAAAUUAAUCUUAUUCAGGCAUGCACUCCAUUGUCGCUGAUAAGGGAAAUCAGGAAGCACUGGGUUUCUCUAUCUUGAACCAGAAAAUCAUGUUAAUUGAUCUGACAUGCUUGCAUUCCAUACACAGAGACAGGGAGAAAUCACGGUAGCUUUACAGUCAGGCAACCGGAGGAAGAUCCUCUACUGGAGCCAUUGGACAAAAUUAUUCCUUUGGUUAGUUGUUGAAUAAAACUGUGUCCCAGUGGCGAGUUAUCAGCUACUGAAGUUUGAUCGGAGUACUAUGUUCUUGUAAAAGUGGACUCAUGUAACAAUCAUGUUUUGUAGGGAACUGAUAUACCACCUGAUGCUCAGAUCAGGUUAUCACCUACAGAAAAGAAGUUGAACUUCUUUCAAUACUUGAUGACGUAUGUAAUGAACUUUUUACAAGAGGAAGGUAUGGUGAACACUUUCGGACAGGUAUAUACUACUACUUGCAUCUGCUUGAACACUUUCGGACAGGUAUAUACUACUACUUGCAUCUGCCUGAACUUAUAUCUUAUACCGCUUCAGCCUCGCGUGUUUCAGGACAUGCCCCCCGAUCACAUUACGAACCCGACUCAUCCUUAUCGUAUGUACGGAACUCCACGUGCGCAUGAGCUUCUCCGCAUGGAAUUGGGCACACCCACCGAUUUGUUGCAGGUGAUUUUCAAGGUAUGGCUGGAAAUGUUGUGCUACGCUGCCAACCACUGCAGCAGAGAUUCCCAUGCCAAGCACCUCAGCAGUGGUGGCGAGUUCAUUACGGUUGUAUGGCUAUUGGCACGGCAAAUCCAUGGACUUCAGCAGCCUCGUAGCUAGCUGGCAUUUGCCGCAUUUCAGUGUGUGUUUUCUUUGGAGGAAAAUACAGGCACUCUCCUGUUUGUAUAGAUAGAAUAUUUAUGUACAAAUGUCUUUUAAGAAUGAAAAACAUUUGAAUUGAGGAGUAAUUCUGAGAGUUCCAAAUGGGCGCAUUUUCUUUUCAGGUGGUUGUGGAAAUGUGCUAGUAGAUUAAGACAUAAAAUUUCUUUUGGUUAUUCCUGCAUGCACCAGGAACCCGCUCAAAAGAAAAACUUUCCGUGUGCCCACCUAUGUAUGAUUGUGUUCUCUGUAAUGAACAAGUGGAUGAGGAGAUUGCUCUUCAUCUUUCUUCGGAUUGUUCAGUUGCUCAAAAUUGUUGGAAUUCCAUCACUAAACGCAGAAGUAUAUAUCUCCCUCUGAUGAAGUCAGCCUAGCCAUUCAAGUUCUUCCUAGAAACAUUUCCAUGUACUCCCUCCGUCCCAUAAUGUAAGACGUUUGAUGUAGUGUCAAAAAACGUCUUACAUUAUGGGACGGAGGGAGUACAUCAUAAUCAUGGGGUGUUCGAUCAUAUGGAUGCAAAGAAAUGGGCAGUUUUUUUUUUUGCGACUGAGAAAUGGGCAGAUUUUCAAAAAUGAAACACCUGGGCUUGUCUUCUGGACACACUUUCUCAAGCAACCUCUUCUGCCAAUAGGGCACAGGCUGAAGAACAAACAUGACAAUUCUAGGACAUCGACUGUAGGAGGGGAAAUAUCUGGAGCAGGUUUCAUUUUCCAAAGACUGAUGAAAAACCAUAAAAGUGCAAUCACGAAGGAAGAAUAAAAAUCAUGUCAGCAAAAAGACAAGACGAGACGAGCAGUAACAUAUGAAUUCGAAACCAUUUCUCCAAAUACAUUGCAUUGCAACAGAAUUCGUUAAGACAUAUCAGUGGAAAUAUGCAACGGAGGAAGUCGAAUAUGACACGAGACCACUAGCACCCAAUAUUGAUACUCACAGCUCACAGAUGGAUUUACAUGUAGACAGGAUCAAGUUUAACGACAACAACGGGUCCAUAGCUCAGUGGUAGAGCAAUUGACUGCAGAUCAAUAGGUCACCGGUUCGAACCCGGUUGGGCCCUAUAUUUUUCGAUUUUAUUUACUUUUUCAACUAUAUGCUGUCGAUUUUAUUUACUUUUUCAACUAUAUGCUGUCUUGUCCAUCCACACUUUCUUAUCAAGUAUUUACUCUUUUUUUAUAUCAUAUGCUUUAUUCCUUCUCAUCCAUUAUGCAUUUUUUGCCAUGUCGAUUCUUCUUCGAGAGAAAUUCAUUAUGCAUUUUUUGCCAUGUCGAUUCUUCUUCGAGAGAAAUCCAUUAUGCGUUUUUUGCCAUGUCGAUUCUUGUUAAAGAGAAUUGUUAUGCUUACAUACAUUAGAUGGUUACCGCUAUUUGAAUUCUUCCACACUUUCUUCUCAAGUAUUUACUCUCUUUUUUACCAUAUGCUUUAUUCCUUCUCAUCUGUUAUGCAUUUUUUGCCAUGUCGAUUCUUCUUUGAGAGAAUUGUUAUGCUUACAUACAUUAGAUGGUUACCGCUAUUUAAAAAGUUCUGAAUUAUUUCCACACUUUCUUCUCAAGUAUUUACUCUUUUUUUACCAUAUGCUUUAAUCCUUCUCAUCCGUUAUGCAUUGUUUGCAAUGUCGAUUCUUCUUUGAGAGAAUUGUUAUGCUUACAUACAUUAGAUGGUUACCGCUAUUUGUAUAGUUCUCAAUUACUUCAAAAAUGAGGAAUUUAUGUCUUAUAUUCUGUGGAGCAUGAUAGACUAGUAUACAUAUUUUUAGACAUGUAGGAAGAACAUUUAUCCAAUUAGGUCUCUUCAAGAGAAUCUAGGAAUAGUUUGCAUAACCCAAAAUAGCAUGUUACAUAAAACCUGGAACUCGCAAUCCGUGAGCACAACCUAAAGUACGUGCACCUAAUUUAUGAUGGCACAUAUUACUGAUAUGCGUAUGUGUAAGCUCGUAACUAGCGUUCUAAUAUGUAUCUUAAUAUGUAAGGAUGCAAACUGAUAUUCAAUUUGCAUUUACAAUAGAGUGAACCAAUUAAUAUUUAAACGCAAGGAUAAGGGCGCAGAGUCUAUCUUAUUGCCUGUGUAAUUAUAUAUUUAUCAGGGUCAAAUGGAAUAAUAUUAACGGGUUCAUAGCUCAAUGGUAGAGGAAUUGAUUGCAUCUCAAUAGGUCAUCGGAUCAAACAUGGUUGGCCCCUAUUGUUUUUUUCUUUCUAUUUUUUUUAUCAACUACUGUCUUCAGCUUCCGCAUGCAAGUUUUUUUUACCAUAUCUACCUUUAGUCUUUCUCAUCCGUUAUGCAUUUUCUAGCAUGUCGAUUCUUCUUUGCGAGAAUUGUUAUGCUUACAUACAUUAGAAGGCUACCACUAUUGCUAUUUGAAUAGUUCUCAAAUACUUCAAAAUUAAGGCAAUUGUGUAUAUUAUGUGGAGCAUGAGAGACUAAUAUUAUGUUUUUAGACAUGUAGGAAGACCAUUUAUCCAAUCAGGCCCCUUCAAGAGAAUCUAAAACUAGUUUUCCUAACCUAGGAACCGGCAAUUCAUGAGCACAACCGUAAAGUACGUGCACCUAAUUUACGAUGGCGCAUACGGUUGAUAUUCAUAUGUGUAAGUUCCUAACUAGCGUUCUAAGGGCGUGUUCGGAUGUCCUCCCGCUCCACGCUUCACAAAAAGCUGGAGCGGAGCUGAGCCGAACAAAAAAGCUCGAAGAAGCUAGCUUCGAGAAGCACAGCCGGAGUCCAAUGUAAAAACACGAAGCACCAAAAUCACAGCUCCAGGAAAACGAGAAGUGAGGAGUUCGGCAUAAUUACAAGAGGAUGCCACCGCCAAGUCAAAAAAACGAUUCGCACGGCUCAGCCCCGACGCCUGUUCCCCUCUCUCCCUCGACAUCCCUUCUGCUCGUGACCUACCCAGCGCAGCCGGUCGCCGCCGCCACGCCCGAUUCCACCCCUUCGCCGGCCGGCGAGCCUCUCCGCCGGUAGAUCCGACCAUUCCAGCCCCGUUCCCGCCGGAUCCCGUCCCAAAGGAGCACUUUCCAGCGCCGCCAGCGAGGAGCUGCAGCAACCCCACUGGCAGGAGACGCCCGCCUUGACGCCAUUGAUGCUGGUGCUCACCAAGUCGUCCUCUGAGCCAACCUCCUCACCCUCGCCCCCUCUCCCCAACCCAAGGUGAGCUCGCCUUUGCAUCUUCCCUAUGGCUGGUGAUGGUACUGUACAAGUGCUGGGAGAAGCUGUCAAGCGUGCUGAACGCGUCGGAAUUGCCAGGUGAAGUGAGAAGCUAGCUCUAGAAGCUGGAUUUGUGAAGUUGUAAGAAGCUAGAUAGAUUCCGAACACGCCCUAAUAUCGUUCUUUCUUCCUCUGGAAGGAAACGGGGAUCUUGCCAGCACAGUCGCCAGGGAGUUCCUCCAGCGGCUCUGUUGAGGAUAUAACCAGUAGAGUCACCCGCCCAGGAGGGGCCGGGUUACGUUAUAAUGAUCAUCACGUGAAGCCCAGUACCAAGCUUGCGGAAGGCGGGUCAGUAAUGGGCUUAAGACCCGGAGGCGGCUUAAGGCCCGUAGUGAUGAACCGUCGUUAUGGCAAGACUUGUAGUGUAAGGCAAGAAUAGCUAAGAGUCCGGGCCGGACACUGUUAUAAGCCGGCCCGGAACCCUGAGAGCCGCUGGGGCGUCAACCUCUCUAUAUAAAGGGACGACCCGGCGGCGGUUUAGGGGGGGAGACAACAGAUCGAUAGCCAGGCAUAGCGAUUAAGCUCCCUGGUCAUCGAAACCUUAAGUAAUACCACCUCAACUGGACGUAGGCUUUUACCUUCACCGUAAGGGGCCGAACCAGUAUAAUCCUCGUGUCACUUGUCCCUCUUAACCCCUUUAAGCUUCCUAGCUGCGAUGGCUCCACGACUAAGUCCUUGCACGAGGACAUCUGCCGUGACAAUUCCACGACAGUUGGCGCCCACCGUGGGGCUGGCGCACGGUGGAUUUGAGUUCUUGAAGGGCAGCUUCGAAGGGCUCAAGGGAUACGCUGUGGGCCGCAUGACUAAGAGUCGCCGCGGCAAGCUCUACAUCGACGAUGCAAACUGGGCCCCCGACGCCGGCUCCAUCGAGUACGGGUACCGGGUCCCCUUCGGCGGAAUCCAUGUCUUCAUUGGCAAGAUUGGUGAGCCGGGCCCUGAGCCGGACCUCUGCGCCGAUCUCAUCGAGACGGCUCAGCGUGCACGACCCGCCCGGGCUCUGCCUGCCUUGAAGCGUGAUUUCGUGGGAUGCGUCCAUGGAGGACUCUCUGAAGGAUCUGGAUCCGGCGAUGAGACGGCCGCCCGCUCUGACGGCGAGUCGUCCACGGAUGAGACAAACUCGUUAUAUCAACUUCAAGAUGGCAGGCUCAGGGGUUGUUCCGAUGGCGACAGUAUUCCGGACCCCUUUGAGCCGCCGAGCCGGGUUGGAAUCUUCAUGGCCGGCGCACAACCUGUUCAAAACUCCGCCACUGGGGCAGGAGGCCCUGUGCACUCGCCGGCUCAGGUGCUGAUGGAUCUUAUAGACAAGAUGACGGCCCUGUUAACCGCCACGGUCGCCCCAGCAGAUCAAGCUCAGCAUGAUGUGGAGGUGGCACAGUUAAAGCUGGAUCUAGCAAAAGCCAAGGAGGAUCUGGCGGCGGAAGGGAUCAGGAUGGCUGCAGAAAGGGCGGCUCUCGACGCCCAGACUCAGCUCAUUCAAGCGCAGUCUUUCCGGCUCACGAUGGAUCAGAACGCGUCCAAUGGGAUCAUGAGAAGGAGGCAUCAAAAGGCUCAAUCUGGACUCCCUCCAGUUUACGAUCCUCGAAACCUCUUCAACACGCCUAGUGCAGGGCCCAGUAACCCGCCAGAGAUCACGGCGCCCAGGGCUGGAACGCCAAUUCAGCCCCAAGUGAUGGGGCCUCCCCGGGUGAACGCUGCCCCUCCUCAGUACGUGCCAAUACCACCGAGUCAUUAUGCCAACCCGUUGGAAAACAUGGUCGCCGCGGCGGCGCGACUGGCGGCUCUCCCAAUCGAGGGCGACUCUCCAACGGCGGUCGAAACCCGCCGGGUCAGAGAACUUCUUCAGACGGCUCUGGCGCAGCAAGAGGCAUACUCAUAUAGCCGGGACAGGAUUCAUUCAACCCCUCGUCCAAACCAGAGCCCAAGUUAUAGCAAGCACAUGGAAUCAGCAACCGGCUCAAGCAACGUCUGGCGCCGCAACUUACCAGCUGGCCACGGUCCGGCACAUAAUGAAGCCGUUAACAUGGUAGACCAUGACAGGGCACGACAAGAGGCGGAGCGGGCGGCUCAGUUGACGGCUUACCAGCCACUCCCGGCUUAUCCGACGGCUUCUAUCGACGCGGGUAUACCUACGAGGGCUGGAGGUGUUCCUUGUCUGGUGCCGGCUCUCCGUAAUGAACGUCUGCCCAAGGAUUUCAAAGGGCCUAGGAAGGUACCUAAUUACACAGCUGAUUUACAACCCGGAGCAUGGAUCGAGAGUUACGAGAUGGCUAUGGAGUUGCUGGAAGUCAGUGAAGCGGCAAUGGCCAAGUACUUCACCAUGAUGUUAGAUGGGACUGCCCGCACUUGGUUGACAGGACUGCCGCCUAACUCUAUCGGGUCGUGGGCGGAGCUGAAAGCCCAGUUCAUCCAAAACUUCAAAGAUACAUGUAGGCAAUCUAUGUCAAUUGUGGAUUUGACCAACUGCAAGCAGCAGGAGGGUGAGUCUACAACCCAUUGGGUUCGCCGGGUCAAAGAGAUAAUACAUUCAUCUGAUAAGAUGGACGCCGGCUCUGCAGUUUAAUGUUGGAGCAGAAUUGUCGUUUUGCGCCCCUGAAGAUGAAGCUCGGGCGGCUCAAGCGCGAUUGCAAUGAUAUGGGUACGCUGAUGGCGGCUCUGGUCAAGUACGCCGACUCUGAUAGUACCAAGGAUCCCGCGUCGGAUGAUGAAAGGACAGGGAAGGGAAAACAGAAUGGCAAUGGCAAGGGCCCCCAGCAUAACCCGGCGAACCAGGGAGGUAACAAGCGUAAGGUUGAUGGCAGUAUGGAAUUUGUGGCCAACGCCAAUUCACAGGGUAACAACCACCGGCACAAGGGGAGACCACCUCCCCGAGCCGGCGGGUCUGGCCCGACGCUUGAGCAGUUGUUGAAUGAGCCUUGCCCAAGGCAUGGCUCUAGGGAAAAGCCGGCCACUCAUCUAUGGAAGGACUGUGCAAUCAUGAAGGCCUUUAAGAAUUCCAAUGCUUUCAAUGGCAACAAUGGCCCGGGCGGCGACUCAGGCGCCGGCGGCUUUCAUGGCCCGGGCGGCGGCUCAAAUUCCAAUUCUCAGAAUGUUCAAGGGGGCUUUAAUCAGCAGUCCGGCCAGGGUCAUCAACAACAGCAGCAGGGGGGAUACCAGACCAAUCCAAAGCAGCUCAAUGGCGGGCAGUAUCAUGUGUUUACUACCAGUCUGUGCAAGCGAGAGCAAAAGCUCCAUAAAAGGGCUGUGAACGCUGUUGAGCCGGCGGUUCCACGCUAUUUAAGAUGGUCUGAGCAGCCUAUUGUGUGGAGUAGGGAAGAUCAUCCUCCCCGGGUUGAUAAUCCGGGUCACCUGGCCUUGGUGGUGGCUCCUCAGGUUGGGGGGUAUAAAUUCACUAAGGUGCUCAUGGACGGAGGCAGCAGCAUCAACAUCCUCUAUUAUGAGACCUUCCGUCGUAUGGGUUUAACUGAUAAAAACCUCAGCCAGUCCAAUACUGUUUUCCAUGGCGUGGUGCCCGGCAAGUCGGCAUAUCCAGUCGGUAAGAUCGAACUGGAAGUAGCCUUCGGAGAUGAGUACAACUAUAGGGCGGAAAAACUAACCUUUGAGGUGGUUAAGAUAAGAAGUUCGUACCAUGCUUUAUUUGGGCGGCCGGCUUACGCCAAGUUCAUGGCACGGCCGUGUUACGUGUAUUUGCAGCUCAAGAUGCCGGGUCACAAUGGGACCAUUACGGUUCAUGGCAGCCGAAAGAUAGCCUUGGAGUGUGAGGAAGGUGACGCGGCUUACGCGGAAUCUGUUUGUGCAACAGAAGAGUUGAAGUUUUACAAGGACAACGUUGACCCGGCAGAUAUGAUGUCUUUGAAAAAGCCAACCACGGAGCAUGAGCCGGUAAUGAAAUUUAAAUCAGCUAAUGAGACUAAACUUGUUGAUUUUGUUCCGGGUGACUCAUCUCAGCAGUUCAGCAUCAGUGCCAAUCUGGAUCCGAAAUAGGAAGGCGCGCUCAUCGAGUUCAUCCGUGAGAACAGGGACAUCUUUGCAUGGAAACCUUCUGACAUGCCGGGUGUACCUAGAGAACUCGCUGAGCACACUCUCAAUAUUGAUCCGAAAUUUAAGCCGGUCAGGCAAUUCCUCCGGCGGUUUAAUGAGGAGAGGCGGAAAGCCAUUGGUGAGAAGGUAGCCCGGCUCUUGGCGGCCGGGUUUAUUGUUGAAGUUUUUCAUCCAGAAUGGUUAGCUAACCCGGUGCUUGUGCUCAAGAAGAACGGCACCUGGCGGAUGUGUGUGGACUACACGGAUUUAAACAAAGCUUGUCCGGCUGAUCCUUUUGCUCUCCCCCGUAUUGAUCAAAUUAUUGAUGCUACGGCGGGUUGUGAGCGCUUAAGUUUUUUGGAUGCUUAUUCUGGAUACCAUCAGAUUAAAAUGGCAGUUAAGGACCAGGAGAAGACGGCGUUCAUCACUUCCUUUGGAGCUUUCUAUUAUGUGUCUAUGCCCUUUGGGCUCAAGAGUGUACAGGCGACUUACCAGCGUUGCGUGCAGAAUUGUCUUCAUAACCAGAUUGGGCACAACGUUCAUGCCUAUGUGGAUGAUAUGGUUGUUAAAUCCAGGGAGAAGGAGACCUUGAUAGAUGAUCUUAGAGAAACCUUUGAUAAUCUCCGGGUUUACAAGAUGAUGCUUAACCCGGCCAAGUGUGUUUUUGGUGUUCCCGCGGGCAAGCUCUUGGGUUUUCUGGUUUCUCAUAGAGGCAUUGAAGCUAACCCGGAAAAAAUCAAGGCAAUCACCUCGCUGGCUAAGCCGGCGUGCAUAAACGACGUCCAGCGUCUGGCGGGUCGCAUCGCUGCUUUGAGCCGGUUUAUAAGCCGCUUGGGUGAAAAGGCCAUGCCACUGUACCAGAUGAUGAAGAAAACAGAUGACUUUAUAUGGAAUGAUGCUGCUGAUGCUGCUUUUGAGGAUUUGAAGAGACAGCUGGCUGAGCCCCCAGUCCUUGCUGCUCCUGUUGACAAGGAGCCCUUAUUGCUGUAUGUAGCCGCUAACACACGAGCCGUCAGUGUGGCUGUGGUAGUGGAGCGUAAGGAAGCGGGUAAGGAGUAUCCGGUUCAGCGGCCGGUUUACUACGUCAGCGAAGUACUCAUUGAGUCCAAGCAACGGUAUCCACAUUGGCAGAAGCUUGUUUAUGGGGUGUUCAUGGCAAGCCGAAAGCUUAAGCACUAUUUCCAGGGUCACCCUAUCACUGUGGUUAGUUCUGCUCCCCUAGGAGAUAUCAUCCAAAACAGAGAAGCCACAGGAAGAGUGGCUAAGUGGGCUAUAGAACUUGGGCCUCAUGGUCUGAAAUACGUACCACGCACUGCCAUCAAGUCUCAAGCAUUGGUGGAUUUCAUAAACGAUUGGACAGAGCUGUAGGUGCCUGAAGAGAAACCGGAUAAUACGUACUGGACUAUUCACUUUGACGGGUCCAGGCAGUUGGAGAGCUCGGGGGCUGGCGUUGUAUUAGCUUCCCCUCGAGGUGACAAGUUUUGCUAUGUGCUACGGUUGAUGUUUCCCUGUACUAACAAUGCAGCUGAGUACGAGGCCUUGCUCCAUGGUCUUCGGAUGGCUAAGGAGAUGAGCUUAAGCCGGGUAAGGUGCUUUGGCGAUUCAGAUUUAGUGGCCCAACAAGUGUCAGGCAAGUGGGAUUCCAAGGACCCCCUCAUGGCGGCUUAUCGCCGCGAAGUUGAUGCCAUUGCUGGACAUUUUCAGGGUUACCAAGUAGAGCACAUCGAUCGCAGGAAGAACGAGGCGGCUGAUGCAUUAAGCCGGCUGGGCUCUCAGCGAAAGCCGGUGCCGCCUAAUACUUUCUUGGACAUCCUGCAUAACCCUUCUGUUAAGUUGCCUACAGAGGAAGGCUUGGCUGUUCCUGACCCGGAAGCGCAGUUGGUGGCGGCUCUCCACAUUAUCCCAUAUUGGACAGUACCAUACUUGGCUUACAUGACCCGGGGAGAAUUGCCUGAAGAUGAAACUUUGGCCAGACAAAUAACCCGGCGGUCUAAGUUAAUGAUAAUUAUCAAGGGCGAGCUGCAUCGUCGCAGUGUCACUGGAACUUUCCAGCGUUGUGUUUCCCCUGAGGAAGGUCAAGAAAUCUUACGUGAGAUCCACGAGGAGGAUUGUGGCCAUCAUGCCGGCUCAAAAUCCCUUGUGGCCAAGGCUUUUCGUCAUGGUUUUUAUUGGCUGACGGCUCAUGCUGAUGCAGAGGACUUGGUCAGUAAAUGUGACGGUUGUCAGAGGUUCUCGCGACGGGCUCAUGUGCCGGCUCAAGAGUUGAGGAUGAUUCCAAUCACUUGGCCAUUUGCGGUCUGGGGGCUUGAUAUGGUUGGGCCUUUUAAAAGGUCCAAGGAUAAGAAGACCCACCUCUUGGUGGCGGUUGACAAGUUCACAAAGUGGGUUGAAGCAGAGCCAGUUAGUAAGUGUGACACAGCCACAGCGGUUCAGUUCAUGAAAAGGGUGAUAUUUCGCUUUGGUUUUCCACACAGCAUUAUAACUGACGAUGGUACUAAUCUGUCUAAAGGUGCCAUGGAGGAGUUUUGUCAACGAGAGCAUAUUCGGCUUGAUGUUUCAUCAGUGGCUCAUCCACAAUCCAAUGGUCAGGCUGAGAGAGCCAAUCAGGAAAUCUUGAAGGGCAUCAAGCCCCGACUUUUGGUCCCUUUGCAACGGACGCCGGGUUGUUGGGUGGAGGAGUUACCCUCCGUGUUAUGGAGCAUCAAUACUACUCCUAACAGGUCUACGGGUUACACGGCUUUCUUCAUGGUUUAUGGAGCGGAGGCGGUCCUCCCUAGCGACAUCCGUCAUGACUCGCCUCGAGUGGCGGCUUAUGUUGAGGCGGAUAAUGAGCGGGCGCGCCAAGAUGCUCUUGACUUGUUGGACGAACAGCGUGAUGUGGCAGCAGCUCGCUCGGCGAUUUACCAACAAGACCUGCGCCGCUAUCACAGCCGCCGGGUUAAGUCCAGGGUCUUCCAGGAAGGUGAUCUGGUGCUCCGGCUCAUCCAAGAUCAAACAGAUGCACACAAGUUAUCCCCGCCUUGGGAAGGGCCCUUUGUGGUCAGCAAGAACUUGCACAACGGGUCAUACUACCUUAUCGAUGUUCGGGAUCACAAAGAUUCACGUAAGUCGGAGGAAGAGACCCGUCGGCCGUGGAACAUAGCUCAGCUUCGGCCUUAUUACACUCGAGCCACCGGCUCUCAUAAUGUACAUAUUUCCAUAGCCAUGUAUAUAUUAUGAUAAAUAAUAAAGCAGGACCUCUGUCCUUUUUCCCUCCAAAGUGUGUUAUUGUUAUUUCCAUUACAACAUUACAUGGUCACUUGGAGGUUGAUCCGGCUUAUGAUCGUAUUCGAAUCUAGCCAUUAAACAAUAUGAUCACUUGGGGGCUUCCUGUUCAAACAUAGGUCGUAUUCAAACCAAAGAGAACAUAGCUGUCGUUACACACUUGAUUGGCAAAUUGCCGAGCUCAUUGGGGAGUUUUUUUUAUCAUAUUUGAAUCAUAGCUCAACCCCCUUUGGGAACCGACGUGGAUCGUAUUCGAAUCAGCGUCGUUAAACAACUCUUAAGGUCAUUUGGGGGCUUCCUGUUCAAACAUGGGUCGUAUUCGAACCUAAGAGAACAUAGCUGUCGGUACCCUCUUGAUCGGCAACGCCAAAGCCACUGGGGGCUAUAUGAUUGCAUUCGAAUCUUAGCUUAACCCCUUUGGGACGGUUCUCUGGUCGUAUUCAAACCAGAAGCCCUUAAGUUUUGAUCUUUUAGUUUGCAACAAGUUCUUUUGAUCAUAUCAACACUGUGCAAGGGCGGUUCUUACUCCGCCGGCUUAACUUUGAUUCACAAUGUUGAUAGCACACAAUAAGCAUUAUCGAUGCUGGUGAACCGGAGUUGAGUUCUCAACCUCAUUAUUUGGGUUACAUAAAUCGGAAGUGUACUUGAAGGCUUGCAGGUAUGCUAUUAUGGUUACCUCGAGGAUAUAAUUGAGAGCCGGUCUUUUAUGACUUUGGUUCAUAUUCCGGGUUAUAUGUAAAAUAUAUGACUCCCAGUGCGGAAAGCCGCCUAGAGACUUGUGAUUUGUUUUCUAUGCAGGACAAUGAAAGACAGUUCUUUAAACUUAAGGAAAGUAAAUGAUCAAACAUAACCCGGAGGAAUACAAAAGAGCAGCUUCAACGGAGUUAAGCACUCCACACGUGCACGAUGGCACGGCAAAAUUAAGUGUUUGUCCUACUCUAUUACAGGACUCCCCGAGUCCAAAAGGUGAGGCAUUGUUUUUAAGGCAUAACCAUGAGCCGCCUAAGAAAUCAAGGUGCUUGUUGGGUUGAAGCUCCCGGCUCAUCCCUCUCCGCUCCUCCGGCUGUUUCCAUGACCUGGAAGGUUGAUGAUUUCCAGUCAAUGCCGCUCAAAGCUUCAAAUUGAGCCUCAUCAUCAAUUAACCCGGCCGGGUCAACUUCUGGGGCGAAGGUAUGCUUACGAGUCGGAGGGAUCAGGCUGGCUGCUUCAUAGCGUGGAGUUGGGAUCCUCUGAUUCUCCGCGUCAUAGCCCGGCUGAUACUUGGUAAGGUCUGUGUCAUUCCCAAUCAAGGUGGCCACCGGGCGCACGCUCUUCACACAGGCGGCGAAGUCUUUCUGGUCAAAGGGGUGCCGUCUUCCUUCAGGCUGGGGUAUCCAAGAGCGAUGUCGGCCGGGUCUAGCUCCGGUAGAAACGCCUUGGCCCGGCUCAGAGCAGCUAUAGCUCCGGCUCUUGCAGAAGCCCGUCUCAGCUCUUGGAAGCGUUGAGGAAGUACGGCAAGCCGCCUGAGUACGUCUGCCAGGUGAGUGGGAACCUCAUUGGACAAUGCCACAACGGCUAAAGCACGCUGUGACCCGGUGUAGAGUUGCUCCACCAAGGUGUAAAUAGCCUUCAGCUUGGUCAGCAUGUUCUGAUUGAGAUUGGAGCUUCUGGGACCUGUAUAACAAAGUCAGGUGAGCUGAUGGCAAUGGUGGGACUUAUGAGACAUGAAUGAUGUAAACUUGUUAGAAGCUUACAAAGUAACUUACCGAAGAUUGCGGAGACCAUCUGCGAUACAUGGCGUUUUAAGCCGGAGAGUUCAGCGGUUCUUUCAGUAAGAGCAGCCUCCGCUUGUUCGGCCCGGCUGAGCAAGGCAGUCUUUUCAUCGGCCCAGGCUUUUCUUUCUGUUUCAAAUUUUUUCUUCGGUUUUUCUUGUGCAGAGACACUGAACUCAAAUUUGGCAUUGGCCUUCUGGGUCUCAUUUUCCUGAGUCUUCAGGCGGUUCUUCAGAUCAGAGAUUUCCGAUUCAAGUUUCUUGCAGGCAGCCUGUACAAAUUCCGGGUUACAGUUUGAGUGAUUGUCAUGCAACAUUAAAGUCCCAAGCACUUUGCAGGCAAAGGUACUUGGCACUUGGGGGCUAAUGUAGGCUGAGAAGCUUUAUUUACAGUGCCGGUUCAUGAAAAUAAGUCCCAAGCACUUUGCAGGCCAAGGUACUUGGCACUUGGGGGCUAAUGUGUCAAGUUGCUCAACUACUUGGUUAAAGUAAGGAAAGAAUCAGGUGAACUAUGCUAUUUAAGCCGGCCCUUGAGUGUUACCAGGUAAGCCGGUAUUAAGUCUACAACAUAUUCUAUCAUAAGUAAUAGACUUGGGGGCUAGCAUGGUAAGGAUGACUAUGGAGUAAGCAAGAGAGUUGUACCUCAGAUUUUUGCUGUAUCUGCUUCACCAUGUCAAUUUCCAGGUCCCGGCUGUUGUGCACUUGACCAAUAUAACCAGCGACAAUAUCUCCAAUGCUCAGAUUGGCAUAGUUAGUAAUGUCCAGCCUGGCUCUGCGGCGUCCCAGAAGUUCCUCCUUAGCAGAGCACUUAGCCAGCACGGUGGGUCUUCCCGGUUCAACAAAUUCGGUCCGGGUAAUCACCACAUCCGGGUCAUCGGCCGGUUGAGCUGGGCUGGGAAUCUCCGGAUUAUCAGAACCCUCCAUAGCUUGUUCUUCAGUUGGAGCGGUGGUUUCUGGAGCUGGUGCAGACGGCGGCUCAGAGGCAGAGGCGUUGGGUUCAAUCAAGACCGGCUCUUCGACCCGGAUACUUUUCUUUGCCCACUUGCUGAGCUUUGCUUGUGCACUGAAAGUCAAAAGGUUAGUGCAAAAACAUGAGUAAGAUAAGCACAAAAUAAGCUGAUCAUCAUUACCCGGGUGCGGUCUUGAAAGCCGGCAAGUUAGAUUGCAUGGAGUCCCCGGAGGAAGGUGAAGUUUCCUGAUAGUUUGAAUCAGAAGAAUUGAGUGGUUGACGAGUGACGCCCGCCAAAGGAUGAAAAGGAUAUAAGUUGGAGAUAACCUCAGUCCGGUGCUUCCUUGAUGCUUCAGGUAAGCCGGAGGAGAGGUCUGCAUCCUUGUUGGUCCGGGUUUGCCUCCGGCUCUCAUGAAUCUGUCGCUUCAAAAGAAAUUGAGGAUCUUGAUAAGCUAAAGGAUGUGAAAAUCUUACUUUCCGGGUUACUCUUCGGACUUUCAGCCUUGGCAAGGGCUCCGAGUCGGAGGAAAGUAUAGUUACCUCUUCAAUCACCGGGUUACUCGCUCCGGUAUCAUCCUGCUGAUAAUCAGUGUCAAUAAGGUGGUUAAAAACAGACAAAAAAACAAA
This 70307-nucleotide long non-coding RNA is filed under the name Triticum aestivum (bread wheat). Its description in RNAcentral is "long non-coding RNA (TAES_LNC009435)". The stretch from base 57490 to 57561 matches the Rfam family "tRNA". The record is from RNAcentral. Lineage: Eukaryota; Viridiplantae; Streptophyta; Magnoliopsida; Poales; Poaceae.